UAUAAGAGGGCCGAGACCAGCUUUGUGAUUUCAAGCUUUGUGAAGAAGUAGAAUGUGGCGUAGAGGAAGAGGUACAGAGCCGAUGAGCCAGAUGUGAGGUAUGAUCUCCACCACCACAAGUAAUCCUCGCUGCACAACUGGAAGUAGCAGAGGACGAUGGUGAUCUCAGCGCAUGUGAUGAUGAGGAUGAUGAAGACCAAGAAGAGGAAACCAAAGAUGUAGUAGAACUGGUUCAGCCAAAUUGAAGUGAGGAUGAAGAAUAGUUCGAUGAAAACUGCUCCGAAUGGGAGGAUCCCUCCAAUCAGAAUUGAGAAAACUGGGUUCAUGUACCAGGCCUGUUCUGGGAUCUGUCUUGGGAUUUUGUUUGUCUUCACUGGGUCCUCAAGUGCUGGCUUCCUGAACCCAACAUAGCCUCCCACAAAUACGAGUGGGACUGAGAUUCCGAACCAUAAAAAGACCAGGGCAAACAUUGUGCCAAAUGGCACAGCUCCAGAUGAUUUCUGGCCCCAAAUCAGAGUGUUCAAGACAAUGAAAAUGGCAGAGACAGUUGCUGGGAACAUGACAGCAGUUCUGAAUGCAAUUUUCUUCCAUUCUGUACCUUUAAACAUCUUGUACAAGCGAACAGAGGCGUAACCAGCAAAAAUUCCCAUGAAGACAAAAAGCAAGAGCAUUGCAGUCAUAAGACCGCCCCGGUUAGAUGGGGAGAGGAAGCCAAGGACAGCAAAAAUCAUUGUCACCAGUAUCAUUCCAAAGAACUGAACACCAGUUCCAACAUAUACGCAGAGCAAUUCAGAGUUAUUUGGAGCCCGGAAAACAUCCCCGUGGACAAGUUUCCAUCCUGUCUCUUCUUGCGCUUCUUCCUGGGUCUCAAGUUCAUUAUACUUGGAGAUAUCACGGUAGAGUGUUCUUAGCAUAAUCAUCGCUACCAUACCCGAAAGGAAGAGGACAAUCAUCAAUGAGUUGACAAUUGAAAACCAAUGGAUUUGGUCGUCACUCAUCAGUAGAUAAGCAUCCCAUCUAGAAGCCCACUUCACAUCACUCUCCUAAACAAGUAGACAUGAAAAGAAGUAUCCUAUGAGACGACUAGUUCCUCACAAAUCACAAAGUAUUUAUGACAAAUAAAUGAUGCUAUAAUAAGCAAACAGUAGACAGUAAAUUAUGAGUUAUAAUUCUCCUAUGAGAAAAUACCAAGUAAAAUUUUAAAUUAAUGAGCUCACCUGGAAUUCAACAUCAUAGGUAAAUACGAUUUCUUGCUUUUCGGCAACCUCUUGAGGAGAGUUAGAAUUAACAACAGUGUGUUUCGAAUGGGGGUCACAGGUAGUUAAACGAGUCUUUGCAUCAUUCCAUUUCCCUUCAUAUUCAUGUUUAACACUGGACAUUCAACACACAAACAAACCAUAUUACCAACUGAUAAUUUAGAAAGAAGAUUCAGCAAGGAGGAAUCAUUCAAGAGAAAAGCAACCCCCUGGAAAAACCGACCUGAAUGGUUUAACCUCAAAUCCCACGAUUCUUGCUGUUUCAGUUUGCGAAUCUCUAUGGUACUUCACAGUAAAUGCCAGAUGGUUGUGGAUGAAGUAUUUCUCUUCUUUGCUCUGAGCACAACAACAUAGCAUAAGAAAGAGAAAAACAUAAUCAUCCCCGAAUAAGAAAGUUAUUUGGUGCCAACAAAUAAUGGACAUACCCCAGCAUAAUGGCCUUUGAGCCCAACGUGGAAUCCAAGCUGAUAAACUGUAGGAGCGUCUUGGUCUGGCCUUUGAAUGGGAAAAACUAGAGGUAGAUUAUCAAGGAUCCUGUCAUAGAAAAAGAAAGUCUUAAUAAGAUAUGUGACUUCGUUUCAGUUCCUCUAAUAUAAAAGAAUACAUCAUUUAAAGUGUCAGAAAAAUACAUGUUCACUCGAUACUCAUCAUCUAUCUUCUCCUUAAACUGCUUUACAAUUUUGGCAUCAGGCGUUAACCGGCAGACAAUGUUGCACAUCUGAGGCUCCCGCAUUUUAAACUGCACAAAUCCUGUUGUAAGUUUAUGAACAUAGGAGAAACAAAUAGCCAUAGCGUUGUACAGGUGAAAUAACACAAACCACAUAGGGGGAGUUCUCGAUCCGGUCACCGCGGAGCACUUCCCCAAGAUUCUCUGUACUGUCCAAGAUUUUAUCAGGUUUGCAGUAACGGAGAGAGUAAUAUGAGUAUGGAAGCUGAGUCUUUGUAGAAGUCAAUUUGUUCACUUUAACUUUCAAAUCAUCUCCCUGCAUUCAAAGAUCCAAGAGAACGAAAUUAAUACAAAACAUCCACCGAGGAAAAGCACUUUGCUUCUCAGUCAAGUGAAGUAAAACAAUGACGAAAUUUCAAAUCUAAUUUACGAGAAAUAAUUCAAAUUCCACAAUCAACAUUUGUAAUGCAGUGAAACCUAAAUGACGAUCUUCUUAGAGUACUUGCUUAGGGCAUAUACAGAUCGAUAUCGGACCAACCAAGAUCUGAUGUGCCGCGAAUUACUCUCACAAUUACAUUGCUCUACGCAUCAAAGUAUUAAUAAAACACAUCCUAAGAAAAUCGAAGAAAUAUACAGAGCAAAAGAACACAUAUCAAAACCUACAAAUCUCAAGAUUUGAACUAUGCCAGAGGUCAACUAAACCUAAAUCGACAAUCAUUUCAAUAGCAGAGUAGCGACCAAUCGAAUUCACGAUAACCUAACCUCCAAAAAAAUUCACGAUAACUUUAUCUCCAAUCCUUCUAUUUUCCUCCAUUUUCUCGGCAACCAAACGGACGAAACCUAACACUAGGUCACAGAUCCGAACAGCGAACACGCAGAUCACUCAUUUCAUACAAAAACACAUACAAUUUCAACAAAAAAUCGAAAUUAAAUGAAAUUACAGAUUAGAUUUGUCGGCGAUUGGGAGCUGACCUUGAUGAAGUCCUCCGGAGCGACGCCGGGGAGGUAGAAGGAGUGGGCGCCAUGGACGAGAAGUAAGAGGAUCACAGAGAUCGCCAGGACUGCCGGAGAUCUACGAGAUGCCAUGGCCUCCGAUUGAGAGAGAAGAGGAAGGGUGUGCAGAUCUGGAGGAGGAGGAGGAGGAGGAGGAGGCGAAGGAGGAGGAGGAGUUAGUUUAUUGGUUGGUGGUGUAAUGGCGUUUAAUAGUUGGAUUCGUAUUUGUCUGUCGCGUAGAAAUAAAAUAAAAUUUUAACUAAAAAAUUAAAAAAUUAGAGUUGAAGAAAAAAAAAAUAUUAAAAAGGGAACAGAGGAGGCGACUGGAAGCUUACAAGGCGGGUGGACUCCGCGCUUUCUCUCCGGUGAGAUCUGGUGUACGUGUGGGUCCCUUUUUUAUAAAGAUAUGAUACAAAUAACGAUACAAAUAUUUGGUAUGAUUUCUUCUUUAUUUUUUAUUUUUAUUUUUUUUGCGGCACGUUAUCCAUUUUCUGAAUUAUAAAGGAAAUAUACUAUGAUAUAAAGCCACUAUGGUAUAACAUGCUAAUUUUAUUAAUCGUUACGUAAAUAUCAAGUUUGAGAUCGAUUACUGUUGGAUUGUCUUGGGGAAUAUGACUUUGCUCACGCACAACGUUUUGUGUUUAAAAUUUUUUUCUAACUCUAAUUUGGUUGGUUAUUUUAUUAAGACGGUGAAUAUGACUAUAUGAUCUCUGAGUUGAUUAAUGUCUUUUCAAACGAUAUAUUACUACUUUAAGUCCGUUAACAUGACGAUCUCAGACUUGAUUGAUUUUAUUUUUCAUAAACAAUAUUUAUAUGAUAGUUGAGAAAUUGAAAUCUUCUGAUUAAGACGUAUAUAGAUGGUAAAAAAUGGAUAAUCAUAAAUGGGUAAAUAAUUAAUUUUCACUAUUUGAUUAGAUCCGUUUCCUUUAAAUGAAUUUUCUAAUUUGCUAGGAAUUCCUUUUUUGUAGCUUUCUUUUUCUUUUAUGUUAACGCAACGACUUGUCGUUUGUGCUUUUUUGUCAACUAUAUAUGAAUGUUACGUGAACCCAAUGUGUAUGCCACUUUAGUGCAUACCUGAAAUUUUGGUUUGAAUCUGGAAAUAGGAAAUAUGAGUAGGACACUGAUAUAUCCAAUUUAAUACACUACUGAUUUUUUUUAUUCUUUUUGCAAUUUUUAUUUAUUUAUUCCCUUGAUUUUUUAUUCAUCAAUCCAAUUUAAUGACAAAAAAUAAAUAUAUAUUAUAUAUUUCCGGGUUAGGUGUGUUUUGCAAUUGGACACGUACGCUGAAAUGUUAAGAAACAUGUUCUUAUCACAUACCUGACUUGAGAAGGCUCGGGUAAAACCCUUAAGUUUUUGGGUAAAUUAUAUAAAAUUACCUCAAUUAUGAGUCGAACCACAAUCUCAUACCUCAUAUUUUAAAAAUUACAAUGUCAUACCUCAUCUUACGAAUUUGUUACAAUGUCAUACCUUCGUCAAUUUUUCUAUCAAAUUUUCUGUUAAAUGUUGAUGUGGCCUGAGAUGAGAUCCACCCCCUAACCCAACCGGAUUAAAAAAUUAAUUAAAUAUUAAAAAAAUUAAAAAUACAAUUAUUUAACGUUAAUUAUAUUAACACCUUACAAAUUGUUGAAUAAACCCCACAAACUUAAUACACCCCACAUUUGCUUUUUCACUUAAAAAUUAUCUUAAUACACCCCACUUACUUUCCCAUAAUACCCCCACACCCCACAUUCUCAAUAUACAUCUUAUAUUUUGUACAUACACCCCACAUUUCUCAAAUCUUAUAACACUCAUUUUUAAUUUUCAGGGAUUGAAUCUAACCAUAUGUACAUUAAAAGAUGAAUAUGAAUAUAGAAGUUUAAAUAAUACAGCAAAACGCAAGAUUAAAUAAUUAUCAAUGUCAUCGAAAUCACUAAAACAAUGAAAACUAUGAAGUCUUACCUCAUGCGAAGCUCCUGAAACAUCGAUUUCGUGUUCCAUUCGUCAAAAACAAUUUUUCUUAAUCAACAUGUUUGAUAGUUGAGAAGAUAAAUAAUACGCUAAAAGUGAUUUGGGGUGUAUUUAUAAAUCUUUGUUUUUUUUUAAACCUAAUAAGGUCAAAAUUGUCAUUACAUAGUAGAGUAAAUAAGUCAUUUAAUAUUAAAUUUUAAUGUGGGGUGCAUUCAACAUUUUAUGGGGUGUUAAUAUAAAAACCCUUAUUUAAAUAUUUUUAUUUAAAAAUGUGGGACCCGCCCCUACAAACCCAACAUCCUCACCUUCUUCCCUAGCUCACAUGUCUCCCCCCCCCCCCACCCCAACCUUCCUCCUUUCACCCCAAAACCAAAACCCAUCUCUACCUCCCUCCCAAUGACGCUCCUCUUCUCCAGCAACCUUAGAAUCAGGUGUGGGUCCACUGCGACGCCCUUUGGGCUCUCGACAUGGGCCUUUUUAUAAGCAUCCCAUUUCCCCUCAGCUCACCCGUCUCCCCCCAACCUUCCUCCCUUCACCCCAAAAACAGAACCCAUCUCCGCCUCCCUCCCAAUGACGUUCCUCUUCUCCAGCAACCUUAUAACCAGGUGUUGCUCCACCGUGACACCCUCUGGGCUCUUGAAAUGGGCCUUUUUACAGGCAUCUCAAUUCCCAAAGUUCUCUACUUUCAAAAGGAUGGCUUUGAAAUUGGUUUUUGAUUUUGAAAAAAGAAUUUGGUUUAUGAUUAAAUGGGGUUUACAAUUGAUUGUUAUAAAAUGCAUUUCAAUUUGGGGAAUUUCAAGUGUGGAUUUUUGCCCAUAUUUUCUUGAACUGAAUUAGUUUUUCGAGUUCGAGAUCCCAACCCAAAUUAUGCCUCUUCUUGCAGUCGUCAGAUUUUCUAUUCUUCCUCUGCCCGCCCUCGCCUUCCACAAGCCUAGAGAAGGUCCUUCAAAUACCCCGCAAACGGUUUCAGAUUGCAGGUGAGGGUUUUUGGGGUGGUGCUCAAGAAAGUCCUUGACGGAAUUGACAUCGGCAACAAAUUGGUAUGCGGUUGCUUGCUUGAGAAGAAUGAGGUGCCCUUUUUUUAUUUUAAAUUGGGCUAGUUAAUGAUGACUCGGGGGAGGAGAUGGGGGAGGAAAGGGCAGCAGUGAGGGAGUGGGUUCUGGUUUUGAUGGUGAAGGUAGGAAGGUUGGGGAGGGGAGACGAGUGGGCUGGGGAAGAAGGUGUGGGAGAUGGGUUUGCAAGGGAAAUAUUUAAAUUAUUUUAUUUUUUUAGUUUUUUUAAUAUUUAAUUAAUUUUUUAAUCCAGUUGGGUUAGGAAGUGGGUCCCGCCUCAAGUUACGUCAGCAUUUAACAGAGAAAUUGAUAGAAAAACUGACGGAGUUAUGACAUUGCAACAAAUUCGAAAGAUGAGAUAUGCCAUUACAAUUUUUAAAACAUGAGGUAUGAAAUUGUGAUUCAACCCAUAAUUAAGAUAGUUUUGUAAUUUACCCUAAGGUUUUUUUUAUGCAAAAUCAUAUCAUGUUAUGGUCCUCCUUUUAUGGCUUGACUUAGAUUGGACUAUUUUAGAUUUAGUCUAGCAUCAAUGCCGAUGUUUAGUGAAUUUGUAUACGCUAAGACAAGAUUUUCCAAAUUGGGCAACGGUCCAAUAUAUUAUUAUGUCUUACCUGUCUCAAUUAUAGUUGCGUGACUCAAUAUGAUUGGAAUUAAACACAACUCCAAUCAUAUCAAGAGCUUGUUUCGAAGUGUUUUUCAAAUAGUUAAAAUACCUCUGGUGAAAAUAUUUUUGAAACCAAACUUUAACAAAAAUGCAAGUGAAUCUUGAAAAAACAGCUAAAAUACUUUUGAAAUUCAAAAACAUCUCUAAAAUCGUAUUUAGUCAUUUUCAAAAGUAUUUCCAAAAAAUUGCGAGUUUUCUUUGCCAAUAUAACAACUGAUUUUGCCAUGAUAUGAAAAAGAAGUAGAGAGAGAAAAGAACACCAACGGCUAAAAGCCUAAAACACCAUGUUUUGGGUCGGUGUGGUGUCGAAAGUUUGGUUUUGCUGCCAACCUAGGAACUUGGGUUGGGCCCUUAGUUUGUGCCCAAGUUUUAUAGGCCUUAUUAUUGAGUUUACUUGCAAACAUGACCGAUGUAGCUCUCCGUCCAACUCAUUUCAAAGUGGUUCGACGUGAGGUGGCAUGUUGAAUAAAGUAAAUUUUUUUACAUCGGCAAUCUUACAAAAACAAACCACAACUUAUAUUAAAUGGUUUCACUUUUAAUUAUAUCGAGGUCUUUUGCAUAGAAACCCUAAACUUAUUGAUUGCACAGAUGCUUAAUUAGGGACACUAUCGAAGGAUCUUGCUCUUUGCAUGGAGAAUGCAUCCACUUGAACAAAAGGAGGGGACGGAUAAGCAUCGUUUACUUGUUCAAUAUCCUUUCGGAGUAAUGACUUGAAGUGGACAUGCAUCAUCUUCAUCUACUUGUACCAAAACAAGCGAAAAACCCACAGAAAAUCACUCUCACUACUUGAUGGACGGACAAAGAGAGUGAGAGAGAGCCAACUCGGUUUCCUUCCUUUUUUAAGAUUUGCACAACCUCAUAAAUAUAUGUAUAUUAUGAAGUUGAAUUUUCUGGUUGUUGCUUCUUGAUAACCCUACAUUGCCACUUGCACUAUGUGGGGGUCAAUCGAUCUUCAGUUUAAGUGAGUAUGAAAUGAGUUGUAAAUAGCAUAUAUGUGAGUAUGAAAUGAGUUGUAAACUCAAUCGAUGUUUAAGUUUGAAUUCUCGUAAGUAGGGGUGGACAGAAAAACUGCUCAACCAAACCAAGCACCAAACCAAACCGAAAAUAUUAAUUAAUGUUAAAAAAUUCAUAAUUUUAUGAACAUUUAAUUUGUUGAAAGCAGUCCAGUUGAACCUUCCUGACCUAGGUUUAAAUGACAUGAUUAUGACUCAUAAGCAUAAUACUAUUUCAGUUUACCAAAGAAAUUCCACACAAGACGCAUUAACACAACUCAAAACCCACAUGAAUAUACAAUGUGAUGAGACAUGAUUAACACAACUUUUCUCCUUUUUCAAUAAGUAGUAUGAAUUAUUCUACUAUUCUAUUAUGAUUUUCAUAUCAGCCUGCAUAUUGAUCAACACAUACUUAACACAAGCACACAACACAAUAUAAAUAAGUAACACGAACACAACUCGAUGGUCACCCCCACAUAUGAUUUCGGAUUUCGGUUACUUAGGGUUUAGGACACAAGCCAAAUUUCAUUUUCACGCUACAGUGUGUGUACGUGAAAGAGGGAGGGAAGGGAAGCAGAGGUUGAUAUGUGGGUAAAUGUCCAGCUUUAAGAGCAAUAAAACCUGGACAGAAUCUUCUAAUGUGUAACCCAAACACCAUCAAACAAACCCAAAACGUGCAACUUAUAUUCUUCAAAACACACCAAAGGCAUAUAUGGUCCCCCACAUUGCCUUAUUUGCCAAGCAAAAAAGCACAUCAAAGAUCAAACCCCUCCUCGUCUCUAUGAAGUUGCAUUGGCUUGGGACCCUCAUAUUUUCUUUCUUCCUUUCUAUCAUAUAUAUAUCAUUACUUUAUGAUGGGUAGGUUCAUGACAUGUUUUACUUAAUCAAUGCUCUUGAUUAUCUACUUAAUGAAUGAUUUUUUGGUGUGACAAUUACAAAUUCGCUUAAGGUGUAACAUACAAGUUUAUCUAUUGAUUUUACAUUCUAGGUUCAUGACAUGAUCUCAAUGAUCAGCAAUGUGGUCUAAGAAAGUGAAGAAUUUGGAAUACGAUGAGUUUUGUUUCGAUCUUCUCUAUUACAAAGAAAGUAUAAAUUUUGAUUAUAUUUCACAACAAAGGUUUUUACUAGCAAAUCGAGACUACUACUGUAGGAAAACGUCUAGAUCAAGAUAAAUUUUGCUAUACAACGACAACGUUUAAGUUCAAGAAAGUGAAGAAUUUUACGAUGAGUAGAUGAGCCUCGUGAACCAAAAGCAGGCGUAGAAGCUGAUUGUUCCGGUGACAAUAAAGAAUGCAUAAGAAGCAAUGAGCAUGUACCCGAAGUAUAAGAGGACCGAGACCAGCUUUGUGAUUUCGAGCCUUGUGAAGAAGUAGAAUGUGGCGUAGAGGAAGAGGUACAGAGCCGAUGAGCCGGAUGUGAGGUAUGAUCUCCACCACCACAAGUAAUCCUCGCUGCACAACUGGAAGUAGCAGAGGACGAUGGUGAUCUCAGCACAUGUGAUGAUGAGGAUGAUGAAGACCAAGAAGAGGAAACCAAAGAUGUAGUAGAACUGGUUCAGCCAAAUCGAAGUGAGGAUGAAGAAUAGUUCGUUGAAAACUGCUCCGAAUGGGAGGAUCCCUCCGAUUAGAAUUGAGAAAACUGGGUUCUUGUACCAGGUCUGUUCUGGGAUCUCUCUUGGGACUUUGUUUGUCUUUACUGGAUCCUCAAGUGCUGGCUUCCUGAACCCAACAUAGCCUCCCACAAAUACGAGUGGGACUGAGAUUCCCAACCAUAAAUAGACCAGGGUCAACAUUGUGCCAAAUGGCACAGCUCCGGAUGAGUUCUGGCCCCAAAUCAGAGUGUUCAAGGCAAUGAAAAUGGCAGAAACAGUUGCUGGGAACAUGACUGCUGUCCCGAAUGCGAUUUUCAUCCAUUCUGUACCCUGAAACGUCUUGUACAACCGAACUGAGGCAUAACCGGCGAAAAGUCCCAUGAAGACAAAGAGCAAGAGCAUUGUGGUCAUAAGACCACCCCGGUUAGAUGGGGAGAGGAAGCCAAGGACAGCAAAUAUCAUUGUCACCAGUAUCAUUCCAAACAAUUGAACACCAGUUCCAACAUAUACACAAAGCAAUUCAGAGUUAUUUGGAGCCCUGAAGACAUCCCCGUGGACAAGUUUCCAUCCUGUUUCUUCUUGCGCUUCUUCCUGGGUCUCGAGUUCAUUAUACUUGGAGAUAUCACGGUAGAGUGUUCUUAGCAUAAUCAUCGCUACUAUACACGAAAGGAAGAGGACAUUAACUAAUGAUUUGACAAUUGAAAACCAAUGGAUUUGGUCGUCACUCAUCCGUAGAUAAGCAUCCCAUCUAGAAGCCCACUUCACAUCACUCUCCUAAACAGGUAGACAUGAAAAGAAGUAUCCUAUGAGAUGACUAGUUCCUCACAAAUGACAAAGUAUGUUCAACACCAUUACAUCAGAAAUAUUAGGGCAAAAGACAUACGAUAGUAGUUCAUGACAAAAAUAAAUGAUGCUAUAAUAAGCAAACAGUAGAUAGUAAAUUAUGAGUUAUAAUUCUCCUAUGAGAAAAUACCAAGUAAAAUUUUAAAUUAAUGAGCUCACCUGGAAUUCAACAUCAUAGGUAAAUACGAUUUCUUGCUUUUCGGCAACCUCUUGAGGAGAGUUAGAAUUCAAAACAGAAUGUUUCGAAUGGGGGUCACAGGUAGUUAAACGAGUCUUUGGAUCAUUCCAUUUCCCUUCAUAUUCAUGUUUAACACUGGACAUUCAACAGUCAAACAAACCGUAUGACCAACUGAUAAUUUAGAAACAAGAUUCAGCAAGAAGGAAUCAUGCAGGAGAAAAGGAACGCCCUGAAAAAAACUGACCUAAAUGGUUUAACCUCAAAUCCCACAAUUCUUGACGUUCCAGUUUGCAGAUCUUUAUGGUACUUCACAGUAAAUGCCAGAUGGUUGUGGAUGAAGUAUUUCUCUUCUUUGCUCUGAGCACAAUAACAUAGUGUAAGAACGACAAAAACAUAAGCAUCUCCAAAUAAGAAAGGUAUUUGGUGCCAACAAAUAAUGGACAUACCCCAGCAUAAUGACCUUUGAGCCCAACAUGGAACCCAAGCCGAUAAACAGUACGAGCUUUUUGAUAUAGCCUUUGAAUGGGAACAACUAGAGGUAGAUUAUCAAGUAUCCUGUCAUAGAAAAAAAAGUCUUAAUAAGAUAUGCGACUUUGUUUUAGUUCCUCAAAUAUACUAGGAUAAAUCAUUUAAAGUGUCAGAAAAAAUUAAAUACAUGUUCACUCGAUACUCGUCAUCUAUUUUCUCCUUAAACUCCUUUACAAUUUUGGCAUUAGGUGUUAUCCGGCAGACAAUGUUGCACAUCUGAGGCUCCCGCAUUCUAAACUGCACAAGUCCGAUUGUAAGUUUACGAACAUAGGAGAAACAAGUAGGCUUAGAGUUGUACAAGUGCAGUAACACUAACCACAUAGGGGGAGUUCUUGAUCCGGUCACCAUGGAGCACUUCCCCAAGAUUCUCUAUACUGUCGAUGAUUCUCUCAGGCUGGCAGUAAGGGAGAGAGUAAUAGGAGUAAGGAAGCUGAGUCUUUGUAGAAGUCACCGUGUUCACUUUAACCUUCAAACGAUCUCCCUGCAAUAAUUCAAAUUCCGCGAGGCAAAGCACUUUGCUUCUCAGUCAAGUGAAGUAAAACAAUGAUGGAAUUUCAAAUCUAAUUUACAAGAAGUAAUUCAAAUUCCACAGACAGCAUUUGUAAUCCAGUGAAACUAAAUGACAAUCUUCUUAGAGUACUUGCUUAGGAGUUAGGGCAUAUACAGAUCGAUGUCGGACCAACCAAGAACAGAUGCGCCGGGAAUUACUCUACGCAUCAAAGUAUUAAUAAAAAACAGCCUGAGCAAAUCAAAGAAAUAUGCAGAGCAAAAGAACAUAUAUCAAAACCUACAAAUCUCAAGAUUUGAACUAUGACAGAGGUCAACUAAACCUAAUUCGACGAUCAUUUCAAUAUCAAAGUAGCAGCCAAUCGAAUUUACGAUAACCUACUCUCCAAUCCUUCUAUCUUCCUCCAUUUUCUCGGCAACCAAACAGACCAAACCUAACACUAGGUCACAGUCACAGAUUCGAAAAGGAACACACGGAUCACUCAUUUAAUACACAAACACAUACAAUUUCGACAAAAAAUCGAAAUUAAAUGAAAAUACAGAUUAGAUUUGUCGGCGAUUGAGAGCUGACCUUCAAGAAGUCCUGCGGAGUGACGCCGGGGAGGUAGAAGGAGUGGGCGCCAUGGACUAAGAGUAAGAAGAUCGCAGAGAUCGCCAGGACUGCCUGGGAUUUACGAGCUGCCAUGGCCUCCGGCUGAGAGAGAGAAGAGGAGGAGUGUGUAUGUCUGGAGAGGAGCCGAAGGAGGAGUUAGUUUGUUGGUUGGUGUUUAACAGUUGGAUUCAUAUAUACUAAAGCCGAAGGAGGAGUUAGUUUCAACCUGACCCAACCACAAUGGCGAUUCUCAUUGGAGGAGUUAGUUUCAACGAAGUAUUAAAUAUCCAUGAUAUCGGAAAUAUUGUUAAUCCAAAAAUAUAGAAAUUUCGAUAGAAAUAUCGGGAUAUUAUCGAUAUCGAUAAAAAUUGAAUAAAAACCACGGAAAUUGUAAGAAAAACUUGGAAAUUUUUAUUGAAACUUUGCAGGAUGUUUAUUUAGUCAAUUAUCUAUUAGUUUAUCAUAAAAAAUUGUAAGGAAAUGCAUUGCAUGAUAGAUAUAACUAAUUUAAGUUGAUUAUAUAGCGAGCUGGCAAGGUCUAAUACCUUGCAUGGUAAGAUACAUGAGUGACUUAGCAAGGUCUAAAAUAUCGAUGAUAUCGGUAGUUCAAAAACAUGUAAAUUUCGAUGAAAAUAUCGAAAUAUUAUGAAUAUUUUAGACCAUGAUUUCAACCUGCACCACAUAGACGAUGAAAAGAAAUCAACGUUCAACCCUUUCACACCCAGAUUAUAUAGUAAUUAGUGACCAAGUCAUCAAGGCAAAACUCCAUAUCAAUCGUACGUCUAUAAUUGCAUAUUAAUUUCCAGCUCCACGUUGAUUCGAUAAAGAUCCUCUGUCUGGUUUGAUGAAUCCCAAUUAUAAUAUGUCCUAGUCGUUUCAGCUGACUUUGGUUAGAAUGAAUAAUAUAUUUUAAUUUCUUUACAAUUACUUGGAAAUUUCCAAUUAUAUCUUACGUUAAUAGAAAGAUAAUUAUAAAUAGGAAAUUAAUUCUUUAAUUUUCUUUUGUCACCAAAGAAAAUUAAGAAAUGCGAAUUAGAAAUGCUAGUUUCAACAACUUCAUUUAAAAAUAUUCCGAAUAAUAUACAAUUAAUAUCACGCUAGAGUCUAGGACAAAUAAACCUACUUUGAUUAAUGUCACGUCAAGAACGGUCAAGAUGUGACAGGGGCACUUUUGUAAAUAUGAUAUAAAAACUGUGAAGCAAUCAUCUUCAACAUUGCAUCUUUCCGGGCACAUAUGAACAUAAAAAAUAAAUUGACGUUCUACACGAAAUCUUUCACACCCAGAUUAUAUAGUAAUUAGUGACUAAGUUAAGUGAAGGCAAAACUUCAAAUCAAUCGUACGUGUAGUAUUGCAUAUUAAUUUCCAACUCCACGUCGAUUCGAUAGAGACCCUCUGUCUGGUUUGAUGAAUUCCAAUUAAAAUAUUUCCUAGUUGUUUCAAUUGACUUUGCUUACCAAUCAGAAUAAAUAACAUAUUUUAAUUUCUUUACAAUUACUUUGAAGUUUCCAAUUAUUUCUUAGGUUAAUAGAAAGAUAAUUAGAAAUAGGAAAUUAAUUCUUUAAUUUUCUUUUGUCACCCAAGUAAAUUAAGAAAUGCGAAUUAGAAAUGCUAGUUUCAACUAUACAAUUAAUGUCUCGUUAGAGUCAAGGACAAAUAAACCUACUUUGAUUAAUGUCACGUCAACAAAACAGUCAAGACACGGCAGGGGCACUUUUGUAAAUAUGAUAGAUAUUUUGGGGCAGUUUUAUAAAUAAAAAACUUCUAUUGUGAGUUUUAAUUGUUAUGUUUGUGUUUUAAUCAUUAUGUAUGAUGAACACUAGUAUUUUGUUAUAUUGUGAGUUUGAAGUAUGUUUUUUAAUAUAUGUGAUAUUUAUUAGAUUUUAAUCGUCGUGUUCUAGCCGUGUCUUUAUUUUUUGAGUUUUGUCGUGUCGCUGAGUUCAUAGGAUUGUAUUUGACCUGUUGAAAAAUGGCCAUGAACGAUCUAGUAUCAUUAACAGCAGCUUUAGGGCGUGUUUGUUUGACCUUCUUAGGGGGGACUGGACUGGACUACACUAAUUGGUAUUGUAGUCUGAUGUUUGGUAGGGGCAAGGAUUAGGUUUAAUGGGAUUAGAUCCGACUCGCACGGAUUAAACCCCUCGCUAGGAGUUCUUAGCGAACCACCCCAAAAACGUCCGGAUUCGUAAGACCUCCUCCCUCACGUCGUCCUUCUCAUCCGAUUGCGCUAUUGCGAGAAAGAACCUCGGUCAUCCUAGGAGAGAGUGUCGUCGACGUCCUCCUCCCUCACGUCGUCCUCCUCAUCCUCAUCUCUGCGUCCUGCUCGCCGUCAACUGCAUCCUGGUCGCCCUCAUCUGCAUCCUGCUCCUCAUCUGUUCCUCUCGUCGUCCACUCCCUCGUCUUCACGUAACAGAUCUGCUCGCCCUCAUCUGCCUCCAGUUGUCUGGUAAGCUUCGAUUGUUCGAUUUUUUUCGUCGAUUUGAGUCGAUUUAGGUGGAUUUUUUUCAUCGAUUUGGGCGGAUUUGUUUUGGGUUUGAGCUUUAUUUGAUUCUGCAGUUGAACAAAUUUUAGGGUUUUGAUAUUUAGGUGAAAUUGAGAUUAGAAAUUGGGGUUUUCAUAAAGCUUGGAAUUUGGGGUUUGAAAUUGAGAUUAGAAAUUUGGAAUUUGGAGUUUGAAAUUUGGAAUUUGGGGUUUUCAUAAAGCAGUGUGUGUGUAUGUAAGUAUGCAGUAGAAAUUUGGAAUUUGGGGUUUGGAAUUUGGGGUUUUCAUAAAGCUUGGAAUUUGGGGUUUGAAAUUGAGAUUAGAAAUUUGGAAUUUGGGGUUUCAAAUUUGGAAUUUGGGGUUUUCAUAAAGCAGUGUGUGUGUGUAUGCAGUGUGUGUGCGUGUGUAUGUAUGUAUGCAGUGUGUGUGUGUGUGUGUAUGCGGUGUGUGUGUGUGUGUGUAUGUAUGCAGGGUGUGUGUGUAUGUAUGCAGGGUGUGUGUGAGUGUAUGUCAGUGUGUGAGAGUGUGUAUGUCCGUGUGAGUGCAGUGUGUGCAUCUGACCAGUGUGUGUGUGUGUGUAUGUAUGCCGUGUGUGUGUGUGUAUGUAUGCAGUGUGUGUGUGUGUGUGUGUGUGUGUAUGUAUGCAGUGUGUGUGUGUGUAUGUAUGCAGUGUGUGUGUGUGUGUAUGUAUGUAUGUAUGUGUGUGUGUGUGUGUGUGUGUAUGUAUGUAUGUAUGUAGGGUGUGUGUGAGUGUAUGUCCGUGUGUGAGAGUGUGUAUGUUCGUGUGAGUAUGUGUGUGAGUGUGUAUGCAGUGUGUGUGUGUAUGCAGUGUGUGCAUCUGACCAGUAUGUGUGCAGUGUGUGCAUCUGACCAGUGUGUGUGUGUGUAUGUAUGUCGUGUGUGUGUGUGUGUGUAUGUAUGCAAUGUGUGUGUGUGUGUUUAUGUAUGCAGUGUGUGUGUGUAUGUAUGUAUGCAGUGUGUGUGUGUGUAUGUAUGUAUGCAGUGUGUGUGUGUGCGGGUGUAUGUAUGCAGGGUGUGUGUGAGUGUAUGUCCGUGUGUGAGAGUGUGUAUGUCCGUGUGAGUAUGUGUGUGAGUGUGUAUGCAGUGUGUGAGUGUGUAUGCAGUGUGUGUGUGUAUGCAGUGUGUGUGUGUGUGUGUGUAGUAUGUGUAUGUGUGUGUGUGUAUGUAUGUAUGUAUGCAGGGUGUGUGUGAGUGUGUGUAUGUCCGUGUGUGAGAGUGUGUAUGUCCGUGUGAGUAUGUGUGUGAGUGUGUAUGUAGUGUGUGAGUGUGUAUGCAGUGUGUGUGUGUAUGCAGUGUGUGCAUCUGACCAGUAUGUGUGCAGUGUGUGCAUCUGACCAGUGUGUGUGUGUGUAUGUAUGUCGUGUAUGUGUGUCUGUAUGCAGUGUGUGUGUGUAUGUAUGCAGUGUGUGUGUGUGUGUAUGUAUGUAUGCAGUGUGUGUGUGUGUGUAUGUAUGUAUGUAUGCAGUGUGUGUGUAUGUAUGUAUGUAUGCAGGGUGUGUGUGAGUGUAUGUCCGUGUGUGAGAGUGUGUAUGUCCGUGUGAGUAUGUGUGUGAGUGUGUAUGCAGUGUGUGUGUGUGUAUAUGUGUGUGUGUAUGCAGUGUGUGUGUGUGUGAGUGUAUGUCCGUGUGUGAGUGUGAGUAUGUCCGUGUGUGUGUGUUAGUGUGAGUGUGAGUGUGAGUAUGUAUGUGUAUUUUGCACAUUUGUCCAUGAGUGUGUGUGUGUGUACUUGGUUUAUAACCAUGAUAUUACAAUGUGAAUGUUUUGUAUUGUGUGGGGUUGAUGCUGAAUUACAAUUUUUUGUGGUUGUUGGUUGCAGAGAAGAGGAGCAUAAACGGAAGGCUAAGGCUAAGGCUACUGCAUUACAGGUGUCCUUUAAUUUCCCUCUUCACAUGCAAUGCCUAGCAAUGAUAGCAAUCCUCAUACUAGUGUUCUUAGACACAUGUUUAUAGAUGUAUAAGAGUAGAACAUUUUGAAUAUGAUGCCUCGGGUUAAUGAUAACUUUUUUUUUUCAACGCCACCUGUAUAUUUGUUGCUCGGGUUAAUGAUAACUUUUUUUUUUUCAACGCCACCUGUAUAUUUGUUGCCUCGGGUUAAUGAUAACUUUUUUCUUUUCAACGCCACCUGUAUAUUUGUUGCCUCGGGUUAAUGAUAACUUUUUUUUUUCCAACACCACCCGUAUAUUUGAUGCCUCGGAUUGUGACUUCGCUAAUUACUUUGAUCUAGUUCAUUUCGUAUCAUAAUCACUUCAUUUCCAUCACCCUUAAUAACAGUAAAUAUUACAUAUAUAAUGUCCUUAAUUUGUUUUUUGUUUUUUUUUUGUUUGGAUAGAUAUGGAUCGAAUGAAGCUUUUAUUGAUCUUAUUGUUAGAGAUGUCUUAUUUGGAGACAAUUUGCAUUUGUACGAUUCUUGUGUUGAUGAUGCUACGUGGCAAACAGAGACAUGUUGAACGACCCACAUUGACUAACCGUUCACUUAUUAGACGAGAGAUUAGUUUGUGUUAUCUGAAUGGUAUAAUAGGGAAUACUGAUAUUGAAUGUGUCAACGAAUUGAGAAUGGAUAGAAGGACUUUUGGCAUAUUAUGUGACUUACUUCGUCAAGAUGGGAGGGUAAAAACUGAUGGUUUGGUGUCUGUAGAGGAGCAGGUGUGUAUGACUUUACAAAUAUUAGCACAUCAUACUAAGAAUCGUAGUGUUGGCGGUAGAUUUUAUAGGUCGGGAGAGACUAUAAGUAGGUAUUUCAAUAUCGUAUUGCAAGGAAUUUUGCGAUUACAAGGUAUCCUACUAAAAGUCCCUCAGCCUGUGCCUAUUGAUUCUACAGAUCCUAGGUGGCGAUGUUUUAAGGUAUGAUGAGAAUUUUUUUUCAUUUUCCCUAAGCUUUAACUCUUCAUUCCCUUUGUAUAAAUUAACAAAAACUUUUUUUUUUUUUUUUUUUUUAAGAAUUGCUUGGGAGCAUUGGAUGGAACACACAUUGAUGUGCAUGUACCUGAAAUUGACAAACCAAGAUACCGAACAAGAAAGGGUCGAGUCGCAACUAAUGUGUUAGGUGUGUGUUCAGGAGAUAUGUAGUUCAUAUAUGUGUUUCCGGGGUGGGAGGGUUCCGCAUCAGACUCUAGAGUGCUACAUGAUGCAAUUACUAGGCCUAAUGGUUUUAAGGUACCAGCGGGUAAGACUAUUACUUAGUCUCAACUUUGUAAGUUAGGUCUAGUUCUGUUUGUCAACUACAAAACACUAAUAAGGUCUGUUUUUUUUUUUCAUUAGGUUAUUAUUACCUUGUAGAUGGUGGUUAUACAAAUGGUGAAGGAUUCCUUGCACCCUAUAGAGGAAUACCUUAUCAUUUAUCUGAAUGGGAGGGACGAACACCUUCUAAUAAGGAAGAAUAUUUUAACAUGAAGCAUUCUAAGGCAAGGAAUGUAAUUGAAUGCUGUUUUGGCUUGCUAAAAGGAAGGUGGUCGAUACUAAGGAGUCCAUCUUUCUAUCCGAUAAGGACACAAGGUCGAAUAAUUACCGCUUGUUGUCUACUACACAAUCUUAUUAGGCAAGAGAUGUCUGUAGAUCCAAUGGAGAAUUUGCCAAUAAUAGAAGAUGGACAAAAUACAAAAGAAGGUGAAUAUGUUGGUAGUGUUCAAACAUCUGACCAGUGGACUGCAAAGAGGAAUGACAUGGCUCAGGAAAUGUAUAACGAGUGGAGAGCAAUUAGGAACUAGCAACCGAACUAGCUAUAUGUGUUAAUGAUAACAUUUUAUUUUAGUAUUCCUUUUUAUCAUGCAUUUGUUAGAUAUUAGCACAAUGAUUGGAUGGUAUGCAAAUUAAUUGGAUAUUAUGCAAGUUGAUUGGAUAUUAUGCAAGUUGAUUGGAUAUUAUGCAAAUUGAUUAUUUGUAUGGUAUUUUCCUUCAUUAAAAUAUUUUUUGUUUAGGUAUGGAUAACGAAAAUAUUUUGAAUGCUACUCAAGAGCCAAAAGGAAGAAGGCGUAAAUGGGAAGCAUUUGAGGAAGAAGUAUUACUAGGAGUUCUUGAGGAUUUUGUUGCUCGGAAGCAACGGUGUGACACCGGUGCUUUCAAACAAGGUACUUUGGUUGAAAUAGCAAAAGCUGUCAAUGUUUUAUGUCCUCAUUCAAAUAUAAAGGCAAAUCCACAUAUUGAGUUCAAGUUGAAGAAAUGGAAAAAAACAUAUAGUAUGGUCGUUGACAUGAUAAACACAAGUGGAUUUGCAUGGAAUGAUGUCAAAAAGUGCGUUGAAGUUGAUAGUGAUGACUCAUGGCAAACUUAUGUGCAGGUUCAUAUCCUAUUUUAUUUAUACAUUAGUUAUAUUAUUGCUGCUAUAUUUGUCACGCAUGCUAAAUUUUAGUUUUGCUAUGUUGAUAUAAUCUUAGAGAAAUAAAGAAGCCGAUGGAUGGAGAAUCAAACCUUUUCCACUGUUUGAUAGAUUUGCAUAUAUAUUUGGAAAAGAUCGGGUUACGGGUAAUGUAGCCGAAACCCCUGCUCAAAUGGUGGAGGAACAAAGUCAUGAUCAUGUUGGUGAAAGUGAUAUUGGAGGUGAAAAUUUUGUUUCUUCAAUGAACCAACAAAGCCAACAAAGCACCCCAUCUGAAAAUAGCCAAAGAAAGAUGAAAAGAGCUGUGGGAAGUUCAAGUGAUGGAACCGAGGCAAUUAUCAGUGGACUGAAAGAUUUUUAUGUUGAAAGUGGGAAGAGGAUGCAAAUGGUAACUGAAGCUUUAGUUCAAGGUACUGCAGAUCAUACUGACAUAGCUAAUGAACUUGAAGCAAUGGGUCUCUCUCCUAUGGAUCAAAUUGAUGCAUUGUCUCUUAUUUUGGAUAAACCAAAAAAUGUGGGAGUGUUCAGGGCAAUCAAACCGGAACUUAAGAAAGUGUUCGUCCAAAGGUUUUUAAGCGAUAACGCAAGCGGAUGAGGAUUUUGGCUAAUGUUAACAUGGAUGUAUUUUAUUAAUGUUAACAUGGAUGUAUUUUAUUAAUCAUAAAAUCUUAUGUUAUGGCUUAUAACUUAGUUUUGCACUAGUAUUUUGACUUAUGUUAACUAGCCAUUUUGUAAAUUAUGGAGAUCUAUUUUGGCUAAUGUUAACUAAUGUUAACUAGGAUUUUCUAAAUUAUGGAGAUCUUCUUAUGUACUUGUAUUUGUUGAAGUUGCAUGUAUUGGGCACUAUUAUUUUUCUUCUGUUGGGUGAUAGAGUUUAAAUCAAGCUACAUUUGCAAAUUAAACCCAAUUCUAUUAGCAGGUAAUAGAAACAAAACAAUUGUCAAUUUUUUUUAAGAUUCAUAAUAUACAUGGCAAAAAUAUGCUCCAAUUAACCCAUAUCAUGAGAUUUGUAGCAUUACUCUAUUACACAAUGGCAAAAAUUUGUAGUCCUAGUCUAAGCAAACACAAAUCUGGUGAACAGUACUGUUUUUCUUAUCCUGCUUCUUAGUCCGACAUUACACCAAACGCUUCACUAAGUUAGUCCAGCUUAGUCCAGUCUAAGCCAGUCCAGUUUAGUCCCGGCAGCUAGUCUAGUCCGAGACAGUCCGGCGCAAUAAACGCACCCUUAAGGAAAUACUAGGAAUUACUUUCCAAUGCCUGCAAGUUCUCAUGGCAUCGGUGAAUAUGAUCAAAAUUUCACUUGAAAUUUCAGUAGGGGGAAGUUGAUGGUCAAGAUCAUGCUUUUUGCUUCGAUGGAAUUCCUAAAACCAUAGAUUCCGAUUAAGCAACAUCUCUAAGGCAUUGUCUUAGAAUUAAAUUGUCUAAAAAACAACUAAAUUAUGUAGAUUAAAGUCAAACACCAAACCUCAUGAAAAACUUUUGGUGUCCUGAUGACAUUUGAAGGUCCUGCAAAAAGCUUCUGCAACUAAGAUAAGCAAAUCCUGCCUGUGGCUUGGAAAUUUGAUAUCGAAUUUCGUAUUGUAAGAAUAGUUACAUAUACUGGUGAAUUAGAAUAUCAAUCGAAUAUUGAUUAGUACGCAAUCUAUCGAACAACACUUGAAAAUGAAAACGGCUAUUCUGGCUCAAGGGCAAGAAUAUAAGGUUAGUAUCAAUCAAUAAAUUGGAACAACUUCAUAAGUAUAUUUUAGAUAUAUAAAUUUAAAGGAUCUAAUUCGAUAAAAUUUAAAAGUUAAUUUUGUUGGAAUCGAUAAUAACCAUGAUAAUAACACAGUUUUGCUUUCUUUCCAAGUCCAACAACAAUUCAUAAUUUCGUAUGUAUAGCUGCAAUAGAUCUAUGUCUGGAUGAUUAAGAAUUGAAGGGAAUUCGCGAGAAGUGGUAAAGUCAUUUUCAAUCAAGGAUAGUAGUUGUAUAGUAUUGUCCCAAUCCCAGCAAAUAAAGCUUUUCUAGUCCAAGAUCGGACAAUAAUAACACACUAGUCAAGCAGGUUAUGAUUUAACUUCAAUAAGUAAACUUCUGAUGAUACAAUUAUAUCAGUGAAAAAAUUAUGUAUCUUGCUUUCUCGAUCAUUAUCCGAAUUAAAUCACAUGAUCUACCAUUUAUGUGGUCUCCGUUAAUUUUAUUGAGUUUCAUUUUUACGAAUCUACUUUUUAAGCGAGCUACUUAACGCGUUACUAAACUUAAACUUGAAGUUUUUCUUCGAUUAAAAAAAAUCCAAUGCUAUUAGAAGUGCAGAUUUCAGUUGGAGGAGGAAAAGUAGGUAUUGACUGGGUAAAAGUUGUCAGACUCCAUAAAGCACGUUUCAUGUUCCAACUUUUAAGUUUUUGGGAUCAAAACAAAAGUCACUGAAACAUCCCAUGUGAAACUUAUACUCUAGUAGCAAGCAAAACUAGUACUCUAGUAGCAAGCAAAAGUAGCUCAUCCCCACAAUCCAAACUAUUUCUUCUUUUUUAUUUCAUUUCAGAUUUGCAGACUUAUUUCUUAAGAAACAUCAUUUAAUUUCUAUACUAGACCCAAAAGCAAUACGUGUAAAAAGAAGAACAAAACUUCCUUCCAGUAUUGUUCGUUUUAAUGAAAAAGGAAAAUUUUAUUAUAAAAAGUCACUUAUGCCACUAGUACUACGGUCUAGUGGUAUUUAUCUUCACUGAUAAGUGAGAGGUCUUAGGUUCAAAUCUCGUCAAAGGCGAAUUUGCACCAAUUUAUUGCUAGCCCAUUAUGAGGUUAAGUCCAACCCCUCCCCUUAGUGUAGAUAAUAUCGAUUAUUCAAAAAAAAAAAAGUCACUUAUGACACUAUUUAUAUGCAACACCUUUUUGUCAUUUUGAUUAAAACUCAAAGUUUUCAAACCAUUUUCAUUAGUUUUCUUAUAAAAAAAUCCCACAGCAACUAACACUAUCGCUGCUAGUAGAUAGUUUUGGAAGUGUGGUGCUAUCACUCACACCUCUUUUUAUUUUGUAUACAAUGCUCUCAAUUUUUUACCGUUAAAUUAAAUGCAUUGAAAAUAAUCAAAUGAUAAAAAUUAGCAAAAAGUGUAUGAAAAGUUAAAUAAGAUGGAUGGAUAGUACCACGCUUUUAAAAAAAAAAAUCAUAUCUUAACUUGUUUUACUUGAGCCCCAAAAAGAAGCCUGGCGUUUGAAUUCUGUUUCCCUCAAGACUUAAUCGUAUCUUAACUAAUCACUCCUUAAUAAAUAAAAAAAUUAAAAAAAAAAGAGAAGGAAUAUUUUAGAUGCGAUUCCUAAUCUUUAAUAUUAUUUGAUUAAAACCUUAAUGGUUUUUAAAGUUUGAUCAAAGUCCCUUGACUUUGUACACCUCAUUAUGUUACUAUUAAUAUUUAUAUUUUUAUAGUUUUGACAUUAAUUGUUUGAUAUUUUAUGAGAUUUAUAAUCCUAUAAAUUUAAAGUCUCUCAUUAUAAUACUAUUAGAAACUGUUACAAUAAAUAAAUUCAAACAUUUUGAUUGAAUAAAUGGAUAUAAACUAUGUAACAAUAAGAAAUAAUAAAUGACAAAAGAAUGUAUCUAUAGUGUUAAAAAAAUUGAUAUAUUUUACAAAAAAAUUAUACAUUUCACAUAUAACAAAGUGGUACAUUAAUACAGAAGAAUUAAUACAGAAGAAUGAGUACAUUAUGACCAUGGCUGAGUUGGUAGGCGGAGCUUUUCUCUCUUCUUUCCUCUCUGUUUUGUUCGACCGGAUAGCUUCCCGUCCCGUCCUCGAUUUCAUCUCUGGGAAGAAAAACGAGCUGCUCAUGAGAGAGUUGAAGCUCAAGUUGCUCACCGCUGACAAGCUGGUUGACGAUGCCGAGGAGAAGCAGAUGACAAGCCCGACCGUGAGGAAGUGGCUCGACGAUCUCAAAGAAGCUAUCUACUGUGUAGGAGAGUUGCUGGACGAGAUCAAAGCUGAAGCUCUUCGACGCCAGCUGGAAGGUGAGGAUGACCAUUCUCCUGCAGCUAGCAGCAGCACAAGCGGGAUCUCGAGAUCAGAGUCCAACCCUUCUUCUCCGUCCGAUGAAUUUCAGAUUCCAACCGACUUCCCGAUCCCUCCCAUGCCCACCAUGGGAAGCACUCCUAUCUUAGGGCCAGUCGGAUCAUUCAAACGUAAUGCUUCAAGGAUCCUUUUUUUCUCCUUUUUCCUUCCGAAGACGGCAGACUCAUCGAUCCGCGAAGUAGUUUGACGAGUUCUUUCUUGUGGCCUAUGUUGAACUCCUUCUUUCAGACCAUGAACGUCUCUUUCAUUGAGAAUGAGGUUUAACACCUCAGAAUGUUUGAUAUCUUCGGUUCAAGAGAGUUGUGAAAUUCAUCGGACGGAGAGGAAGGGUUGGACUCUGAUGAAUUUCACAACUCUCUUGAACCGAAGAUAUCAAACAUUCUGGGGGUAUUAAACCUCAUUCCCAAUGAAAGAGAUGUUCAUGGUCUGAAAGAAGGAGUUCAACAUAGGCCACAAGAAAGAACUCGUCAAACUACUUCUCGGGUCGAUGAGUCUGCCGUCUUCGGAAGGGAAAAUGACCAAAAAAAGGAGCCUUGAAGCAUUACGUUUGAAUGAUCCGACUGGUCCUAAGAUAGGAGUGCUUCCCAUCGUGGGCAUGGGAGGGAUCGGGAAGUCCACCCUUGCCCAACUUGUGUACAAAGAUGUCAAGGGUGACUUUGAUGUCCAAGCAUGGGUUUUUGUCGGAGUAGAAAUUGAUAUUCUUCAAAUAGCACAAACGAUACAUGGGAAGAUCACAAAAAACCCUUGCACGAUCACAGAUCUGGAUCUGCUUUCUGAAGAAUUGGAGGAGGUUUUGACAGGAAAAAAGUUCCUCUUCGUUCUUGAUGAUGUCUGGAGUGAGGAUUAUCUUCUCUGGAAUAACUUGAUGACUCACUUCAAUAGCUGCGGAGGGAAUAUCCGAGGACGAUUCUUGGUUGUUAUUUGCAAAGCAUGCCUUCACGGAAGACAGUGUUAUUACUGCCCAUCCGUAUCUUGAAGUCAUUGGAAGGAAAAUUGUUAACAAGUGUCAAGGCCUUCCUUUAGCUAUAAAAUCAUUAGGGGGCCUGUUACACUCUGUUUUGAAUCGAAGGGAAUGGGAAAAGAUAUGGAAGAGCGACUUAUGGGAGUUGCCAAAUUAUGAGGUUUUGCCAGCUCUACGGUUAAGUUACCAAUAUCUACCUCCGCAUCUCAAACGUUGUUUUGCUUAUUGUGCAAUAUUUCCUAAAGGUUACAACUUUCAACGUUCAACGUUAAUUUCAUGGUGGAUGGCUGAAGACCUCUUACACCCCACGGGAAGGAGGCAAUGGAAGAUGUUGGAAGUGAUCACUUUGAUAUUCUAGUAUCAGGGUCUUUCUUUCAACAUUCAUUAGACGAGUUGGGUAUGUUAUGUUUCACCAUGAUUUAGCAAAGUUUGUAGCUGGAGAAUUUUGUUUAAGAUUGGAGGAAAAUCAGCCGCCCAACAAAAAUUUAUGCAAAACUCGUCACUUUGCAUUCAUGGAAUUUGGAGGUCAUGACAUUCAGAAAUUUGAGGCGCUGGAUGAGGCUAAGCACUUGCACACCUUUCUACAACUUGAAGGAGGCUACAAAGACUGCAAUAAGUUGGUAUUGAACUACACACUUGUUGAUUUAUUACCAAAUCUACCAUGUUUAAGAGUGAUCAAGUUAUCAUGUUGUGAUAUCGUUGAGUUGCCUAGCUCAAUUGGCAACUUAAAACACUUAAGGCAUUUGGACGUGUCGUACACUAAAAUAAGAGAAUUACCUGCGACGGUGUGCACCUUGUACAAUUUACACACCUUGUUAUUGUAUUUUUGUCUUGAGCUGAUUCAACUACCAACCAAUUUGGGAAGGCUAAUCAACUUGCGCCAUCUCAACAUCCGAGAAACAGAGAUCAAAGAGAUGCCUGCAGGGAUGUGUAAAUUGAAAAAUCUCCAAACAUUAAGCGAUUUUGUGUUGGACAAACAAACAGCUCAAAGGAUUGGAGAGUUAAAAGAGCUUCAGCAUUUGCGCAGAAGCCUUAAAAUCUCAGGAGUUGGUAACGUUAAGGGGAAUGCUUUGGAGGCAGAUAUCAUGAGCAACAAGGAGAAUCUGAACCUACUUUUCUUGAUAUGGGGAAGAGCUUAUGAUGCUAGUAAUCAUGAUCCAGAAAAUGACAGAGAAGUGCUCAACAAGCUCCAACCUUAAACAACUUAUAAUUAGGUCUUACGGGGGUUUAACAUUUCCAGGUUGGUUAGGAGAUCCGUAUUUCUCUAAACUAUCUCGUAUUGCACUUGGUGAUUGCAAGCAUUGCUGCUUAUUGCCACCACUUGGGCAACUACCCUCCCUCAAAGAGCUUCAUGUUCUAGGGAUGAAUAACGUGGUUGAGAUUGGUAGCGAGUUUUACGGUAACGAUACUUGUGGGAGUGCUCCAUUUAGAUCUCUACAAGAAUUGCACUUGGAAGAUAUGUUGGAGUGGGAAAAGUGGUCCUAUUACGAUGGAAGCAGAGGCAACACCACAAUAAUGUUUCCUAAUCUUCGUGAGCUUGAAUUGAGAAAUUGUCCCAAGCUGACUGAGAUAUUACCGUUGGAGAAGCUGCAAAGUCUUGAAAGUGUAAAAUUGAAUGGUCUGGAGUCCUUUAGUGGUUCACUUGCACAUGUGGAAUCUAAAUGCCCUAAAUUCCUUUCCCUCGUUCACUUGGAAAUGGUCGACUGCCCAAAUUUUGUAUGUUUUCCAGAUGGAGGGAUGGAUGCGCCCAAAUUGGAGGAGCUGCUUAUCUAUCGAUGCAAGAAAUUGAGGUCGUUGCCAGAACAAAUGCAUACCUUUCUACCGUCUCUUCAGAAAUUGAUGGUAAUUGGCUGUCCAGAAGUGGAAUCAUUUCCUCAAGGAGGGCUGGCGUCAAAUAUACAAGACCUUUUUUUUAGUGUUGUAGAAAACUCGCUGCAAACCGCUCACUGUGGGGUUUAACAAGACUCAACUCUCUUAGAAUGUUGGAAAUCAGUUUCAGUGAAGAAGGUGGAGAAGAAAUGGGAUGUUCGUUUCCGGAAGAGGGUUUGCUGCCCGCCACUCUCACUAGUCUCUCCAUCCGCUUUCAUCCAAAUCUUACAACCAUCCAAGGCAAGGUUUUGAGACAACUCACCUCUCUUGAAUACCUCAGAAUAGAAGGAUGCCCUGAGCUCCAGGGCUUUACAGAAGUAGCGCCCAAAUCUCUGAAAAGGUUGGCUAUUUUGGAGUGCCAUAAUAUCGGGUGCUUGCCAGGAGAAUGGCUUCCCACAUCUCUUUCUCAUCUGCUUAUCAAAGAGUGUCCGCUGUUAAAAGAACGAUUCCGAAGAGAGACAGGGGAAGAUUGGCCCAAGAUUUCUCACAUCCCCCGUAUAAAUAUAGAAUAGAUGUUCCUGAAAUUGGUACUUGCCGAAUUCUCUCUCAAGUGUGUGCGUGCCUAUAUGUAAUAUAUGUACGAAACACUUUAGUUGGGUACUUUUUCUGAUGUUUUUUUUUUCCUUGCGCGUUUGAUUUGUGCUUCUAGUCCAGGCUCCAGCAGCAUAUGCUCUUGUUGUUUCGUGUUGAAUUUGUCACAAACUCUUCCUAAUGCAACAACAAAAAUGGAGCUGGUAUAGCCUUUGCUGUUUUGCGGUAAAGUAGUACUACGUACGUAUUCGCAAGAUGAUUACUAGGCUAAAACAAGAGCAAAUUUGGAUAAAAAAUGCUAUUUCUACCAUCUAGUUGUACUAUCAUUCGUGCCGUCUCUCUAAUAGAGAAGAGACUCGCAUGUGUUGGUGGACCCUCCUCUAUUAGAUUUCAUGAUUCACUAACGAAAGCUCGAAGCACCCUAUUUUCAUCCUCAGCUCGUCAAAGCAACCUAUUUUCAUCCUCAGCUCGUCACACCUUUUUCAAGGGGUUUGCUUCUGAAACUCCUAAGCAGGUUCAUAGAGGCGUAACAUGUGCCCAUCAAUACAUCGUAUGGCAGCAACCUGUUACACAAUAGUCUUAUCGUAAUCUUUGCAACCAGCAUGGUGAUGAUAUACAAAUAAAUUAUCGAAAUUGUUUCGUUUAAAAAUUCGGUGAACACGUAGCCAUGGACUUCACAUUGCCAUGGACUCACUCGUUUGACACGGUGAUCAAAGCCAAGGCUACUGUUGAUAGAGUGCCUAAUUGCAGGAACAAGGUUACCUGUGCUGACAUUUUGGCCUUGGCCACAAGGGAUGUUGUGAAAUCCCUUUCCCAGCAUUCAGGUCCAUCGGAAUGUGUCCGUGCUAGACUAAAUGCAAGGACUGUCCUUGUGUAAAUUUUGAGCGAACGAAUGAUAUGGCACGAAAGUCCAUGUCCAAGACUCCAAACGAUCGUGAUUUGGAGUUAAAGCAGAUUCCCUUAUUAGUAAAACCCAUGAACAAGUCAGAUUAUUUUACAGACAUGAGAAAACCCAAGAGAAAAAGUUGCCACCUUUUCACACAACCAAAAAUUUCAGGGGAAAAUAAAACACAUACUAAUAUUGGAUCCUUCCUUAUUUCUUGUUUUUAGUCUCCUACUCUGUACAGUAAUAAUGCAAAAGCAUAUGCAACAGCCUUCACAUUGAAAAGCCGAUAUGUGAGUAAAAACAACCAAACCGUAAACUUCAUGUUAUUUGGCUACAAAUGAGGAGAAUCCUCUGGCCAAAUUUAACAUCAAAAGUAAACUAGUUGCAACCUAAUCUAAAGACACAAGGUUAUUGCUAAGCGCUUCAUCAUCAUCGUCAUUAAUUUUUGCUACUCGCUCGUCACUUGAAGGUACAAACUUAAGUCUCUCUGUGUGUUUCCCUUUUGAAAAGCUCAUCAAACUGUAUAAUGUUGUUGAAUUGUAUCGAUGUCAAGUCCUUUCAGCUUCACAACUGACUCAACAUGACCCUUCAGCGUAUGCAACUCCCGAAGCCUGCAACCAAAACGAAAAGCUCUUUUAGAACUCAAUUCUCACGUGGAACAAGUCCAACCAGCAAAGCAAAACAAUGCAAGAUGAAGCAUUUUCCAGGAAACAAGAAACAGAACCGGCAGACAUCAUUACGGAGACAAGCCUGAUUCUAAAUCUAUGUAUGAGUGCAAACGGUCCUUACCUUGCAACCUCAGCCCUCCGCUUGGCUUGUUCUGCAAUCUCAGAAAGCUCCCUGUAGCUGUUCUUCUCAUAGAAAAGGUUGUUCAUUUCAGGUGGCUGAAGGCCGUGAAGGGUCCUCUGUGCUGCAGCCCACUGUGCUUCUCUCUCCUCUUUCCCAUAAUCUUUCUUUGUAGUGAAGGCAGUCUGGUGGGAAGACACAAUAAGGUAAAUUGUGGCAAGAAACAUGAAUCUAACUUAUAUUGUUGGGUAGCGCGGAAUGCAACAUACCUUGUUCUCCAAAAGAUUAUUCCACGCCUUUCCGCUUUGAAUGUAUCGGAUUGCGAAUUUAAGAAAGUCACGAGGGACAUAUGUCACUAUACUGUAAAGCCACAUGACACCAGCCCACCCCUAGCCAGCUCCCUUUAUCCGUGCAAAACCCCAGUUUGCAUAGACUGCCAUUUUGCGGAAUGAGUUAUUUAAAAAAAAAAAAAAAAAAAAAAAAAAAGGAAAAUUCUUUUGUCAUACACAUACGAGAGCAACCAAGUAAAAUAUCACACAGGUUUUUAAGCUUGCUAACGGAGUAAAAUUCUUACUUUCAAAAUGUACAAAUUUCUAGAUUAAUUGUCUUAACAUUAUUGGAAAUUACUACAACUUUUAAAACCUUAAGCAUCCAGUUGAGCAAUUAGGUAAAAUUAUAAAGGUAAUCAGUUUGCUUACCAAUUGAGCAAUCAUGAAAGCUCCAAAUAAGAGAAGUCCAGGGCGUUCAACAAAAGACCAGCUACGAGACCUUGUGAUGAAAAUAAGGGCUUGGCUCACAAUACUCACUUGUAAGUACAACACCGCCAUCGCUCAGGCCUAUCCCUCAAAGAUCUCACAUGAAACUUGUCCUGCAUUAUGAAAAUAAUUAAAUAAAAUCAGAAGAAUGAACUUAUUUGCCCAAAUAACUGUGACCUAAAUAGCUUAUAUAUUAAUGGAAAACAAAGAACUGUAUAUUCCCACCGAGAAGAAGUCGGUAUCAUUCAUAAGCCAGAAGAAGACUACUGUCAUUAGUGCCAAGUAACCUCCAAGGACAAUGCCAGUAGCAAAGAUCUCCCUCAAUUUCCAGCUGUCUGGUUGUGGAGAUGGCUUCACUCGAUCCUUUGAUAUUGUCAUGAUAGUUCCUAGCAGAAUCGUAAAAAAAACAAAGUCAGACUCAUUUCUCAUUGAGGAUUGUCCGAUGGUUUCCAAUGCAGGAUCUUAUCAUUGAGGAUUGUCCGAUAGUUUCAGAGCGCUUUGAACAAGGCAGUGGAGACGAGUGGCCCAAGAUUUCUCACAUCCCAAACAUCGUACAUAAGAAGUGAUUUGUAGCAGGGCAAGGAACUGAUGAGUGAGAAGCAAGCCAAGUCUACCAUUGUCAUCUCCCGGUAAUAUCCGAGCUUUAUAUUAUUUAGAAGUUACGUUGCAUCAAUUGUGGCUAUCAUCAUAUUUGUUUUGCUUGGUUUCUUCUUCUAUAUAUAUAUAUAUAUAUAGGGAUAGGAUCAAGGGACAAAUAUUUUUACACUAUUUUUAAGCCUUUUGAUGACAUGACAUCCAAUGAUUCUUAUUUAUUCAUUAAAUGACAUAAAUGCUUAUGUGGAUUUUAACUAAUAUUAAAGAUUAAAAAAAAACUGAAAAAAAAAAAUCUGGAAAAUUAAAACUAAAAUUAAAAAAAAGGAAGAAACCUUAACUGAAAUCUAAACUUAAUAUUAGAAUUUAGGGUUUCGGUUUCGCAUUCACACAUUCUAUCUUAUUCCCUAGCUUGAUUUUUUUUAGGAUUAAGUACCUAAAAUUCUCCAACUUUUUAGUGUAAUUCUAAAUUGGUCUCAACCUUUUUAAACAUUCCAAGCAAGUACUCAACUUAUUGAAAAUGUCACAUUCGUUAAGCCUCAUUGAAAUUUUUGUUAGAUUAACUAAGGCAUACUUUGUCUCUAACAUCAAUAAGAAUAUCAUGAAAGCAUGGCCUCCACUAAUUAAUGGUCACUACCACCCCUUUUAGGCCAUAACCUCCAAACCCUGCAUACAACCACAAACUUCACCCUACAACUCAAGCUACCAAAAUCGAGAAGAAGGUCAUGGAGGUUGCUGAAAUGGUAUGAACUGUCAUGAUGCAGCUGCCACCAUCUUCACCGCCCACAAAGAAGAACUCGAAACUUUACUAGCUAGAGAUCGACAAAUGAGGAAUUCACAUGAGCAUAAACAAGCUCAUUGAAACCCUAUAUGAAUUUUUAACCCUCUUCCUUGUUAGAAGAUUUCCCAGUCUUCAUUUUUUUCAUUUAAUUCGUGAAUUUGUUUAUUUUUUUUAUUUUUUUUCAUUUUCAUGUCUUUUUUUUUAUGAUUUUUUUUGUUUGUUAUUAUUUUAGUGUCCAAGUAAGCAAAUAAGUGGAACCUAUUAUUGCCACAUGUACAUUUAACGGAAAAGUUAACUGUGACUUAAUGGAUGCGACAUUGUCAAUAGGUUGAGUACUUGUUUGGAGUGUUUAAAAAGGUUUAUACCAAUUUGGAAUGGUACUUAAUCCUUUUAUUCUAAUGUAUUCAAUUUAAUGACAAAAUAUAAAUGUAUAUUAUAUAUUAUCAUGUUAAUCGUGCUUCGCAAUUUGACACUUAUGCUGAUGUGUUAAAGAAAUAUGUUCUUAUCACAAACCUGACUCGAGAAGGCACAACUAAAACCCUUAAGUUUUUCAAGCAAAAUCAUAUCUUGUUAUCGUCCUCAUUUGGUGGCUUGACUUAGAUUGAACUAUUUUAGAUUUAAUCUAGUAUCAACACUUAUGUUUAGUGAACUUGUAUACGCUAAGACAAGAUUUUUCAAAUUGGACAAUGAUCCAAUAUAUUAUUAUGUCUUACAAGUCUCAUCUGUAAUUGUGUGACUCAAAAGGAUUGGUUUAGGGUUGGCGGAGUUCUUGAAGGCCCAAUUGCCUGUUGUUGGUGGUUCUGCCCGUCCCCAGAUUGUCGGGUGCCCCCGCCCCCAGGACACAUCAAGGUGAACGUAGACGGUUCUUGGAAUGAGAUUUCUAAUCGUAGUGGUGUAGGCAUCAUUGCGAGGAAUUUCCAUGGUGAUUUUGUUGCUGCGCGGGUUGCUCGUUUCGAGAGUGUGUUUCUCCCCGGCUCAUAUUGAGGCUUUGGCGGUGAGGGAAGGUCUGUCGUUGUGUGUGUUCCUUGUUGAAAGGGGCUAUCAAAAUUUCAUUUUAGAAAGUGAUACCCUCCAUAUCGUGACGGCUUUAUGUAAGCCUUCGGUUAAUAGGUUCUUCAUCGGUCCUGCUAUCGAGGAUGCUAAAGCUAUUUUUGUCUUCGAUCGCUGGAGGUUCUUCUACCCAUGUUCGACGACAGGCUAAUGAAAUGGCCUACCAACUCACUAAGCUUGCCCUUCAUUGUGAGGUUCUCCGGUCUUAGUUCGAGGAACCUCUAGAUGUGUUAACUGAUCAUUUUGUGUUGGAUUGUAAUGGUUGAUAGUUAUUGAGAGGGGCUGUUUCUUGCUCCCCUCCCUCAGAUGUAAUGGUUGUUAUCAGGCUUCUUUUGAUCUAAUGAAAUGCUCUAUCGUUGCUCUUCAUAAAAAAUAAAAACAACUCUAAUUAUAUAAAGAGCUUGUUUUGAAUUGUUUUUAAAAUGAUUAAAAACGUUUCUAGUAAAAAUGAUUUCGAACCAAUCUUUAAUAAAAAUGAAGUGAAUACUAAAAAAACACUUUAAGUAUUUUCUAAAAAAAAACACCAAUUAUGUGUCAGCACUUGAAGUGCUUCAAAAACCUAAAAAUAUUUUUUCUAAAAACGUUUCAAUAAUUUUAAAAGUACUUUCAAAAGAGUCUGAAGUCUUUACCAUAAAGCAAAUGAUUUUGCCAUGACUCAAGAAGAAAAAGUAGAGAUAGAAAAGAACACCGACGGCUACAGGCUACAACACUAUGUUUUCGGUAGGUGAUGUGUCGAAAGUUUGGACCCGACUUCUCUGCCCUCUCACUUCCCAUGCACUCUCAUCCCCUCCUAUUAUGUGUGGUCACGGUUAAGCCACGUCAACAUUUUAUAUUGAUUUUUUUUAUAGAGAUAAUAAGACAAAAAUCAAUAGUAAUAUAAAAUGUUGACGUGGUUUAACCGUGACCACACAAAUAGAAGGGGAUGAAAGUGUAUGGGAAGUGGGAGGGUAGAGAAGCCAGGUCCCGAAAGUUUUGUUUUGCUGCCAACCUAGGAACUAGGGUUAGACCCUUGAUUUAGAGGUGGACAAACCGCCCUUGAUAUAGAGUGGAAUAUUCUCGACGCAAACACAGUGAAUAAUGUCUUCCUCUUUAACCCAAUAGGUCUUUAAUUUUAACUUUCAUUCCAUUAGUUUAGAUGAAUUAGUUUACGUUAUCCAAUCACUUGUAAAAGAAAAAAUAUUGGUCAAGUUAGGAUUAUGGUGCGCGAAUACGAGAGUGGAGGGUUCUGCAAUUCGUAAAAACUCAAAAUUUCUCAAUUUGAGAGCGGAAUGGAUUCAAAAAUUAAAAAAGUAUAAAACUAAUUAAAAAAUGUCCACUUCUUAUCUGUUAACAUGAGCAUUAUUAGCAACCCAACCCAAUUGAGUCUCCUAGUAUUUUUUGUUGAAAGGUACAAUUUAUUCAAUCAAUUAUAAUUGAUAAGUUUAUAUCCUCAGCAAGAAUGUUGAAAAGAAAAUCGGGACCUAUACAAUCUCAUAUAAAGGUUCCCCCUACAAAUUGAAUGAAAGUUGCCAUGUAUGGUCUCCUAGUUGACUGCCGUAUAAUUACCAUGUAUAGUCUCUUGUAUAUUACAUGUAUUUGCCUUCAUAACGGAUUAGAAUAAUACACAAAAAUUCUCAAAAUUUUGACAUGGUAACAGAGUGGGUUUUCAAAUCUGUUGUCAAAUUAUUGGGUUCACUUAUAAACAUUACCAAUGUAGCUCCACGUCUGACCCACUCCAAAGUGGUCCUACGUGAGGGGCGUGUUGAAUAAAGUAAAAGGUUUCACAUCGGCUAUCUUACCAAAAAAAUCACAACUUAUAUCAAAUGUUUCCACUUCUAAUUGUAUUGAGACCUUUUGCAUAGAAACAUCACACCUAUUGGUUGCACAGGUGAUUAAGUAAAGAUAGUAUCGAUGCUACUAGUAGUGUACCGUGACCAUCUCUCUGAAACUUUGACAUUAUCGUACCAUGCUUCAUAGGAUUGGUUUUUCAAUGGUUUAUAAGCUUCACAAUUGUCAAUUUGUUCUCUAAUCCCCUCCUCCCCGAGUCAAGGAGGUUCUUGUUCUUUGAAUGGAGAAGGCAUCCGCUUGAACAAAAGGAGAGGAAGGAUAAGCAUUGUUUGCAUGUCCAAUAUCCUUUCGGAGUAAUGACUUGAAGUGGACAUGCAUCAUCUUCAUCUACUUGUACCAAAACAAGCAAAAAAAACCCACAGAAAAUCACUCUCACAACACAACUCGAUGGAUGGACAAAGAAAGAGAGAGUGAGAGAGACCCAACUUGGUUUCCUUCCUUUUUAUGAUUUUCACCACCUUUGUGGUAACCCUACAUAGCUACUUGCAAUGUGGGGCUCGAUAUUGGAGUUUGAAAUAAGUUGUAAAUAGCAUAUAUAUGAGUAUGAAAUAAGUUGUAAACUCGGUCGAUAUCUAAGUUUGAAUUCUCAUAAGAAGGGGUGGGCAGAAAAACCGUUCAACCAAACCAACCACCAAACCAAACGGUAAAUAUCAAUUAAUGAUAAAAAGUACAUAUUUUAUGAACAUUUAAUUUGUUGGAAGCGUUCCAAUUGAACCUUCCCGACUUACGUUUAAAUCACAUGAUUAUGACUCAUAAGCGUAAUACCAUUUCAAUUUACCUAAGAAAUUCCGCACAAAACAAAUUAAAACGACUCAAAACCCACAUGAGCAUAUGAUACGACAAGACAUGAUUAACACAACUUUUCUCCUUUUUCAACGAGUACUAUGAAGUAUUCUAUAUUGCAAGUCAAUUUGUAAAUUCUGACUUUUGUUAAAUUCCAAGAUUAUUUUCCUCAUUCAAAUAUAACAUUGUAGUAAAUAUGAUUUCCAGUCCUUUCUAUUUCAUUGGUCCACCUUUCAUAGAAACCCAAAUAACUCUGAUAUUGACACAGAUAUGCUUUCUUUCUCUUCUUUCUGGAUUUUGGAGCUGAUUAUCUGGGAUUCUUGUUCGACUGCUAUUCUGAAGAGAAUCUCAACGCUGUAACUUAUAAUCAAUAAUGCGCGAAAAAAUUUUCUAUUCCAAAAGGGGACAAAUAUGAAAAUCACUGAAGGGACAAUAAGAACUCAUUCCCUCAAUCAAAUAUGCAAUCUCUUAUUUCCACUCUUGAGUCUCCACUUGGGAACAAGUGAUUCAGCGUGAAUGUUCUACGUUCUACUUUUACAUUGGUUUACGUGGGUUGAUCAUACCGAGCGAAAAGUCCCCGAUGUAAACAAAGAAUGCUAGAGCAGUUAAGGUGAUCAUUAAGACCGCCGUAGAGGAAGACGUAGGUUAGAAAUGUGAGGUAUGAGGUCUCCACCACCACACAAGUAAUCCUCGCUGCACAACUGGAAGUAGCAGAGGACGAUGGGAUUCGGCGCAUGUGAUGAUGAGGAUGAUGAAGACCAAGAAGAGGAAUCUUAACAUGUAGUAGAACUGGUUCAGCCAUAUCGAAGGGAGGAUGAAGUAUAGUUCGACGAAAACUGCUCCGAAUGGGAGGAUCCCUCCGAUUAGAAUUGAGAAAACUGGGUUCAUGUACCAGGCCUGUUCUGGGAUCUGUCUUGGGACUUUGUUUGUCUUUACUGGAUCCUCAAGUGCUGGCUUCCUGAACCCAACAUAGCCUCCCACAAAUACGAGUGGGACUGAGAUUCCGAACCAAAAAAAGACCAGGGUCAACAUUGUGCCAAUUGUCACAGCUCCAGAUGAGUUCUGGCCCCAAAUCACAGUGUACAAGACAAUGACAAUGGCAGAGAUAAUUGCUGGGAACAUGACUGCAGUCCUGAAUGCGAUUUUCAUCCAUUCUGUACCCUGAAACGUCUUGUACAAGCGAACUGAGGCAUAACCGGCGAAAAGUCCCAUGAAGACAAAAGGAAAGAGCAUUGUGGUCAUUAAGAUGGGGAGAGGAAGCCUAGGACAGCAAAUAUCAUUGUCACCAGUAUCAUUCCAAACAAUUGAACACCAGUUCCAACAUACACACAGAGCAAUUCAGAAUUAUUUGGAGCCCUGAAGACAUCCCCGUGGAUAAGUUUCCAUCCUGGUUCUUCUUGCGCUUCUUCCUGGGUCUCAAGUUCAUUAUACUUGGAGAUAUCACGGUAGAGUGUUCUUAGCAUAAUCAUCGCUACCAUACCCGAAAGGAAGAAGACAACCAUCCAUGAGUUGACAAUUGAAAACCAACGGAUUUGGUUACUCAUCCGUAGAUAAGCAUCCCAUCUAGAAGCCGACUUCACAUCACUCUCCUAAACAGGUAGACAUGAAAAGAAGUAUCUUAUCACAAAUGACAAAGUAUGUUCAACACCAUUACAUCAGAAAUAUUAGGGCAAUAGACAUACGAUAGUAGUUCAUGACACAAAUAAAUGAUGCUGUAAUAAGUAUAGAGUAGACAGUAAAUUAUGAGUUAUAAUUCUCCUACGAGAAAAUACCAAGUAAAAUUUUAAAUUACGGAGCUUACCUGGAAUUCAACAUCAUAGGUAAAUACGAUUUCUUGCUGCUCGGCAACCUCUUGAGGAGAGUUAGAAUUAACAACAGUAUGUUUCGAAUGGGGGUUACAGUUAGUAAAACGAGUCCUAUCAUUCCAUUUCCCUUCAUACUCAUGUUUAACACUGUGGACAUUCAACAGUCAAACAAACCAUAUUACCAACUGAUAAUUUAGAAAGAAGAUUCAGCAAGAAGGAAACAUGCAGGAGAAAAGGAACGCCCUGAAAAAUACUGACCUGACCUCAAAUCCACAAUUCUUACCUGUCCAGUUCGCGAUCUUUAUGGUACUUUACAGUAAAUGCCAGAUGGUUGUGGAUAAAGUAUUCCUCUUCUUUGCUCUGAGCACAAUAACAUACUGUAAGAACGAGAAAAACAUAACCAUCCCUGCAUAAGAAAGGUAUUUGGUGCCAACAAAUAAUGGACAUACCCCAGCAUAAUGGCCUUUGAACCCAAUGUGGAAUCCAAGCUGAUAAACAGUACGGUUUUUUUUUUGCUGAGGUACAGUACUUUUUUUAGAGGUACCUUUUAUCAACCUGUCAUAGAAAAAGGAAGUAUAGAAUGAAAGGAAUGGAACUUUCGUUAUUUUAACCUUAAGAACAUUUUUAACCCUGAAGAGUCAUUGCUAUUAUUCACUACACCUUCAUUAAAACUAAAGUUUUUAAGGACUUUUCGUUAGUUUUGCUUAGAAAAAAAAAGGUCUUAAUAAGAGAUGCCCGGCUGACAAUUUAAUCAUACUGGAUCAUUUAGCGAUAUACUCAAACUCCCUUCACAACUCCCGAAUCCGAGCUGACAAUUUUGCACAUACUGACAAACUGCACAAGUCCGACUGUAAGUUUAUGAACAUAGGAGAAACAAGUAGGCUUAGGGUUCUUAGAGUUGUACAAAUGCAAUAACACUAACCACAUAGGGGGAGCUCUCGAUCCUUUCACCACGGAGCACUUCCCCAAGAUUCUCUAUACUGUCGACGAUUCUCUCAGAUUGGCAGUAAGGGAGAGAGUAAUAUGAGUAAGGAAGCUGAGUCUUUAAAUCUGAGUUUUGUAACCUUCAGUCUUGCAGGCCACAAGCACUUUGCUUCUCAGUCAAGUGAAGUAAAACAACGACGGAAUUUCAAAUCUAAUUUACAAGAAGUAAUUCAAAUUCCACAGACAGCAUUUGUAAUCCAGUGAAACUAAAUGACGAUCUUCUUAGAGUACUUGCUUAGGAGUUAGGGCAUAUACGGAUCGAUGUCGGACCAACCAAGAACUGAUGCGCCGCGAAUUACACUCACUAUAUUUGAACAAAGGUCAACUAACCCUAAUUCGCCGAUCAUUUCAAUAGCAAAGUAGCAACCAAUCGAAUUCACGAUAACCUACUCUCCAAUCCUUCUAUUUUCCUCCAUUUUCUCGGCAACCAAACAGACGAAACCUAACACUAGGUCACAAACAGUUGAGAAGCUACACAGGAGCAAGGAGGGGCGCCCGCCCCUCCUCUCGCCGGAAAUCGUCGGUUCUAGUUGUGCUGCACGGCGCUGCGCUGCUGGUGCUGCUGCACGUUAUAAUUUUUUUUAGAAGAUGCCCAGGCCAAACGACGUGGUUUGGGCUUGGGAUUUAAAAAAAGUGCUAAACAAAACGGCGCGGUUUGUGGAGGGUGCCAUCCCAAUCAGAGAUUCAUAUGUGGGAUUGGACGGAUUAGGAUUCUUUAUGUGGGGUCUUUAGAAUCAAUCAAUUAUGUCCGUUCAUCUACAUCGUGCGAUCUGAAACUAUUUUAAAACAAAUAUUUAAAAUUAAAUAUAAAUAGUAACUAAUGAAAACUGACCGCAUGAUAUACAAUGAGCGGACACAAUUGAUUAAUCCUCCAGAUCUCCACAAAGAUGAUUUGGAGAGGAUCCUCAUCCGGAUUGGAAGGACCGCCCGAUGAAAAUUUUACACGGAAAGAAUUUCAUAUUUUUUUUUGCAUAAACAACUUGUAUUAUGAAUUUAUGGAUGAACGUAAUCAAUUUUUUCUUCUAGUCUCAUCUAAAAAGAAAACUAUAAUAAAAUAAAUAUAAAAAAUUAACGUAAAAUGUUGUACAAUACUACAAUAUUGUUGCAGUUCUAUUUAGAAUAGGAAUGUGAUUGUGUAAAUCCUAGAGAAUAUGGGAAAGUAUUAUAUAUUCCUAUUAGGAUUAGAUUACCUAUUAAAUGUUGUAAUCAUAAAGAGAAAGGUAUUUACCCUUCCAAUUACUAUAAAUAAAGGCACAAUGGGGUGAAUCAAACACACCUCACAAUUAAAUCAAUCUCUCUUCUCUCUAAAGUGGCCGGCCUCUCUCUCUCUCUCCCUAAACCUUAGAUCGCUCAAUCAAAUAGGCCUACAACACGUUAUCAGCACGCUCUUGCCAGAAGCUGAGGAACUGAAGCAUCGUAGGAGGAGGCUAUCAUCCACCACAUUCAAAGGCUAAUUCGUUUUCUGCUGCUCAGGUACGCUUAAAAUAAAGGAAGAUAUUUGAAACGACCCAUGAAGCAUGAAAACAUUCUCCAUGAUGCAUGAACCCCUUAUGUUUAUAUUUCCCUUCCAAUAUAUAUAUAUAUAUAUAUAUAUUGUAUAUGUUCAUAUAUUUGUUUCAUGCAUCGCACAAUUAAAUUGUUAUGUGGAAUUUGUGAGUUAAUGUAUAAAAUUAAAUUAGAAGCAUAUUAGGUUUUUCCUAAAACCUAAAGGGAAUUGAAAAAAAAAAAAAAGGGAAUGGGAUUGGUGCAUCGCACCAUCCCUGUGCCAAAAAGGAAAACAAGCUUCAGCCUGAUUUUGGUUUCUUUGCUGGGCCUGCAGCCCAUGGCCUCUCUCGGCCUGCAUAAAAAACCUGCCAGCCCUCGGCUGGGCGCCUUAUGCACACACGGCACACAAAGCCAGCCCUCGGGCUGGGCCUUUUGCGCCACAAAAUCAAGGCCCCAGCUUCGCUGGGCUCCCUGUGUGACCAACCCGCAAGCCUUGGGCUUGCCCCCGUGUCCCCUUGGACCAAAACACCUAAACCAGCUACGGCUGGGGGUUUUGUCCCUCCCGUGGCCUGCAGCCAUACCCUAGGCCCUGCCGUUUUUACUCAAGGCACCCCGUGCCUUCCCUUACCCACGACACCCAUGCCCAAAUAAUUUUGGGGCAUUUUUCCACCCACAAGCUAUUAUUUUAGCAUUUUAAAUAAUUUAACCAGUAUGUUAAUAUUAUUUUGCUUCUACAAUCGACCAUGUAUGGCCCGAUUUAUUGAAUUAAUUAAAAGUGACCUGCAGUCCACUAAUCUGAUAAUGAAUCCAAAAUUAUUGACCUGAAGAUCACUUUUGGACAUUAACGAUUCAAUAAUUUAUUUUUAUACUUUGAACCGUCACAUACUUUCGUAGUAACGAAGCUCUCACACUUAAGUUCCCGAAGCCAACUCAAAUCCUUAGUUAGUAUAUUGCAUUCUGUGUUUCUUGCAGGAACCUCUCAUUAUGAACUAAUCGUUCAUAAAACUAAUUUGAACCUGUAGUUUCAAAAUUAGUGCCUUUGAAACCUGAAGUUUUCAUUCAAAACAUACCACAUGAAACCUAAAGUUUUCAUGCAUAAAUUAAACUAAUACAUGUCUAUAGAACCUGUAUGUUCUACGAUAUAUGUCUAUGGCUUACCAUAUAACUAAUCACGUUUUUCCCUCUGUUUUAGGGACAUGUCGAACUUGAACAAGCUCGAUUUCUCCACUCUCGAAGUCUCUGGAAGAAACUAUCUGAAGUGGGUUCAAGACGUGAAACUCCAUCUCACUGCAAAAGGUAUUAGAGCCACCAUCGAGACACCUAUUGCCGACAAACCUGUCGACGAAGCUCAGAAGGCUACUGCAAUGAUCUUCAUUCGAAGACACAUCCAUGAUGCAUUGCAGACUGAGUAUCUCGCUGAGGAGGACCCACGCACCAUCUGGCUUGCUCUGGCUGACCCUUUCGAUCACUAGAAAUACAUAUACUUGCCUGAAGCAAGACACGACUGGCAGCAUCUUCGUUUCCAAGACUUUAAGUCCGUGAAUGAAUACAACUCUAAAGUUUGUAGAAUCCAUUCUUUGUUGAAAUUCUGCAAAGUGGAACUAACCGAAUCAGAUCUCCUGGAGAAGACCUAUUCGACCUUCCAUACCACCAAUAUUGUCCUGCAGCAAUAAUAUAGGGCACAAAAAUUCACCAAGUUUUCAGAUUUGAUCUCUGUUUUAAUUCUUGCUGAAAAGCAGAACCAGCUUUUGAUGAAGAAUCAUCAAGCUCGACCCACUAGCUCGAACGCUGCGCUUGAAGCGUAUGCGACCAAUUUUAGCAGCCAUAAACGACGAAAGAACCGUCGUGGCCAUGGAAAUGGGCGGCAAGCCUAACCACAGGCCCAAGGUCAACAGAGUGCCGCACCUAAGGAAAGAAUUACGACCCAGCAGCGUUCACCACUCGCACCUAAGGUCCCAAACUUCAAGAACAAGGGCAAAGCUCCCGUUCAGGCCGCUUCUAUUGAACUAGAUAUGUGCUAUCACUGUGGAUCAAAUGAUCAUUGGUCAUGCGUAUGCCGAGCUUCCCCUGAGGCUAUUGCUAAGUAUCAUUCCCGUCGUGAGCCUAACUUUGCAUAUGUGGAUCAUCCGGAUGAUGCAACCACAUCAAUGGAGAUAUCAGACUUCCAGGAGGCAUCAGCACCUAUGGAAGACUAAAUUAGACAUGUUUUAGGGCAUUAGCCCCUAGUGGCCGAACCCACUAGGAGUGGCCGGCCCCUACCCCCUAUUUUGCUAGGUUUAUGGUUUAAUUUUGAACAAUUUUUCUAUGUAUUUGGAAUCAUUUGUUUGGUUUUGGUUUGUUUUGAAUUAUGGAUUGUUAUUGGAAUGGAUAUUAUUUUCUCGAAUUGCUUAAUUGAAUGAAUGAACUUAUAUUUAUGCAUGUGACCAAUUCCAUCAAUUUAUUCUAGGUAUGUAUAGUGGGGAAGUUAGUUGUUUGGCAGAUAGUGCAACUACGCACACCAUUUUGCGUGAACGACACUAUUUUACUAACUUCAUACCCAAGAAAGCUCAUUUGACAACUUUCUUAGGCUCAUCCAACCUGAUUGAAGGAUACGGAAAGGCACGUAUCAUGUUAUCUAAUGGUACAAUCUUGACCAUUAAGGAAGCACUUUAUUCUCCACGUUCCGGAAGAACGUUGCUAAGUUUUUAGAGAUAUUCGAGAUAAUAAAUAUCAUAUUGAAACCACUGAAGAUCAUGGUUCUGAAUUUCUUUGUAUCACUUCAUACGAAUAUGGCCAGAAGUAUAUUCACAAGAAGUUGGAACGUCUGCCGAGUGGGUUGUACAUCACAACCAUUCGCAGCAUAAAGGCCCACAGUGUGGCCGGCCCUAUGCCUGAGUUCUAGGACACUUUGUUGCUUUGGCAUGACCGUUUGGGACAUCCUGGACGUGACAUGAUGCGCCGUAUCCUCAAAUCUUCACACGGGCAUAAGUUACACCUACACGUUGGAGUCCAGCCAUGCAUAGCGUGUUCUUUAGGGAAGUUGAAUACUCAACCCUCCCAUACAAAGAUUAAUCAAGACCCUCCUAAAUUUCUUCAGAGGAUUCAAAGGGACAUUUGUGGACCUAUCCAACCAACCUGCAGACCAUUUAGAUACUUUAUGGUGUUGGUUGAUGCAUCGACAAGAUGGUCACAUGUUUGCUUGUUGUCCAUACCAAUGCCGCAUUUGCUAAACUCCUAGCUCAAAUCAUUAAGCUAAGGGCUCACCACCCUGAUUAUCCGAUUAAGUCGAUUCGACUGGAUAAUGCUGGAGAGUUUACGUCACAGACUUUUGACGAUUAUUGCAUGUCAGCAGGGAUUAAUGUGGAACAUCCUGUGCCCCAUGUUCACACCCAAAACGGCCUGGCAGAAGCUUUCAUAAAGCGCCUUCAAUUGAUAGCUCGGACUUUGGUUAUGAGAACCAAACUGCCGGUAUCUGUCUGGGGGCUAUGCAAUAUUGCACGCAGCUAUGUUGGUCUGCCUGAGGCCCAUCGCUACCCAACCACAUUCACCGUUACAGUUGGUCACUAGAUACGAGCCUGACGUCUCGCAUUUACGGGUGUUUGGGAGUGCCAUUUAUGUGCCAAUAGUGCCGCGGCUACAUACCAAAAUGGGUCCUCAGAGAAAAAUGGGAAUCUAUGUCGGUUAUGAUUCACCAUCAAUUGUUCGAUACUUAGAACCCUUGACAGGAGAUCUCUUUACCGCACGUUUUGCGGAUUGUCACUUUGAUGAGACAGUCUUCCCGUCAUUAUGGGAGAUAAGCAUGCUAACGUUCCUGUAGAACGCCGUGAAUUGUCGUGGUAUGCUCCCACUAUGUCUCAUUUAGAUCCCCGCACUGCCCAAUAUGAAACUGAGGUGCGACGAAUUAUAGAUCUUCAGAGCAUUGCUCAAAGCAUGCCGGAUGCUUUUAAUGAUCUAGCAAAGGUGACAAUAUCACAUAUACCCGCUGCAAACACACCUGCAAGGAUAGAUGUACCCCGUGUACAUCAACAGCCCGUCUGGGAAGGCCGAGCCAUCCCCAAAGGUGGGGAGGCCGCACCCUCCACACGGUAUGGUACAUUGGCGGCUAGCCAAUCAUCUGCGCCGACCCUGAAGCGUGGCAGACCCCCUGGUUCAAAGGAUUCACAACCUUGGAAGAGGAAAAUGGCACCAACUAGUGACCCUAGUUUGAAUCCGACCACCGUUAACUUAUCCGUUCCAACGCAUGAGGUUAUUCUAGAUUACGGUGAUGCUUCAGAUGGAACAUGCCGGCCUCCCGAGAAUCGCGAGAUUUUGGUCCAUUACACAGUAUUGGAUGAGAUUUGGAAUAGGAAUGAGAUGAUCAUCGACGACGCAUUCUCGUACUCAGUAGCUACUAACAUCAUGCUUAGCGAUGACAUUGAACCACAUUCCGUCGAUGAAUGCCGACGUAGAACCGAUUGGUCAAACUAGAAACAAGCAAUCAGGUCAAACUUGAUUCACUCGCGAAACGUAAAGUGUUUGGACCUGUCGUCCCUACACCACCACACGUGAAGCCUGUUGGCUACAAGUAGGUUUUCGUGAGGAAGUGUAAUGAGAAGAAUGAAAUAUUGCGAUACAAAACACGCCUCGUAGUGCAAGGCUUCUCUCAACGCCCUGGAAUUGAUUACGAGGAAACAUAUUCCCCCGUAAUGGACGUUAUAACGUUCCACUACCUUAUCAGUUUGGUAGUUUCUGAAAAACUGAAUAUUCAGCUUAUGGACGUGGUAACCGCGUAUCUCUAUGGGGAUCUAGAUACGGAAAUAUACAUGAAAGUUCCAGAAGGACUUCCAUUAACUGGCUCAAAUAGUUCUAGACCACGGAACACUCUCUCAAUUAGGUUGAAGAGGUCACUCUACGGAUUGAAACAAUCUGGGUGGAUGUGGUAUAACCGUCUGAGUGAAUAUUUGACAAGUCAGGGUUAUGUGAACAACGAACUAUGCCCAUGCGUGUUCAUAAAGAAGUCACAUUCUGGAUUUGUAAUUGUUGCAGUUUAUGUCGAUGACAUGAACCUCAUUGGUACUCCCGAAGAGCUUGAGGAAAUUGCUGCAAACUUGAAUCGAAAUUUGAGAUGAAGGAUCUUGGGAAAACUCGAUAUUGUAUCGGCCUGGAGAUCGAGCAUUUCAGAUUGAAUCCUAGUACAUCAAUCGAACUACACCCAAAAUGUGUUACGUCGCUUUAAUGAGGAUAAAGCGAAGCCUUCGAGCACACCCAUGAUCGUUCGGACUCUAGAUGCUAAACGAGAUCCCUUCCGUCCAAAGGAGGAUGAGGAAGAGAUUUUGGAACCCGAAGUUCCUUACCUAAGUGUAAUUGGUGCUUAUUAUACUUGGCUCAGUGCACUAGACCCGACAUCUCUUUCGCUGUGAAUCUAUUGGCUAGAUACAGCAAUGCGCCUACACGCAGGCACUGGAAUGGUGUCAAAGACAUUUUCCGCUACCUCAAAGGUACUACGGAUUUGGGCUUGUUCUAUACCCACAAAUCUCCUAGUGUUGCCGCCCCUUAUGGAUCUAUGAUUGAUUCUCGCCUUGUUGGUUACGUAGAUGCUGGAUAUCUGUCUGACCCACAUAGAGCACGUUCUCAAACGGGUUAUGUCUUUACCGUUGGAGACACCGUUAUAACUUGGAGGUCUACCAAGCAAACGCUAGUUGCGACUUCGCUAACCAUACUGAGAUUCUCGCCCUGCAUGAAACAUCGCGUGAAUGCUUUUGGCUGAGAGAGUGAUGGGACAUAUUCGAAGCACUAGUGGUCUUACAUCAGUCGUUGGCCUUCCUACGACAAUCUUUGAAGACAAUACAUCAUGUAUCGAGCAGUUAAAGAAGGGAUACAUCAAGGGAGAAAACACCAAGCACAUAGCGCCAAAGUUCUUUUACUCACACCAGCAGCAGCAGCAUCAGAACAUUGAAGUCAAGCAAAUCCGUUCCCAGGACAACCUGGCCGAUCUCUUCACCAAAUCAUUGCCAAAAUCUACAUUUCAGAACCUCGUCCAAGGAAUCGGUAUGCGUAAAUUAUCAGAAUGAAAUCGCUUGUAGUUCUCUUAUUUAAGAAGUUAUGUCUAACUCAGGGGGGAGUAUCUAGAAGCAUACUGACAUGAUCUUAAUGUACUCUUUUUCCCUACGAUUAGGAGCAUUUUGCCCAUUGGAUUUUUGCUACCUAAUUAGGUUUUAACGAGGCACCCGUUCUAGGAUGAUCAUACUCCGUUAAGUUCACUACAUUCGUCCAGUUUGACGAUUGUUUUAGACAUUAUGCAUAUUUUCUUACUUUUCUCCUUAGUCUAUGGGUUUUUCCCCAUUCCUUGGGUUUUACCAUAGCGAGGUUUUGUGAGUUUUUACAAAUGCAUACUUCAAAUUAAAUUUGAGACUCGUGAUGACCCGUUGUGCCGAUGACUUCAUCAACUAUUCUACCUUCUCUGCUGAAGAUCUGAUGCGAUGGUUUGUUGAGUAUUUACACACUCAAGGGGGAGUGUUGCAGUUCUAUUUAGAAUAGGAAUGUGAUUGUGUAAAUCCUAGAGAAUAUGGGAAAGUAUUAUAUAUUCCUAUUAGGAUUAGAUUAUCUAUUAAAUGUUGUAAUCAUAAAGGGAAAUGUAUUUACCCUUCCAACUACUAUAAAUAAAGGCACAAUGGGGUGAAUCAAACACACCUCACAAUUAAAUCAAUCUCUCUUCUCUCUAAAGUGGCCGGCCUCCCUCUCUCUCUCUAAACCUUAGAUCGCUCAAUCAAAUAGGCCAACAACAAAUAUAUCAUUUUUAUUUAAACUAGGAGAAAAUAUGAAAUUUUAUAUUUCAAUUUUAUUCAAUUUUAAUUUCCUGUGCUAAUUGGCAAAGGUUUUUUAUGAAAGUUGACUGUCCUAUUUAUAAAAUGUGGGAGGAAGACUUAGGUUAGAGAAGGAAUCCUGCCAAAGUCAACUAUAACUCUUAAGGAUAUGAAUUAAUACUGUAAUUUGAUUCUGAUUGUACUAGAAUAGGAUGAGAUUCUUACUUGUACGUUGUAUAAAUAUAAGCCCAAGGUUCUAAAAAAUGUUAGGCGCUAGUCGGGCGGCGGGCUAGCGCCUAGCGCCUAGGCGGAUUUAGGUAAAUUUCUUGUAUAUCUUGUAAAUAAAUGCAUAUUGACACCUAAAAAAAACUAUACUUUUAUGGAUAAUACAAUAAUGAUAAAAUGAAAAUUAGGUACACUAUUUCCAUAAGUGGAUGAACUUGUAGUAAAUCCAUCAUUUGCAAAUUAGAUACACCAUUUCCAUAAGUAUACCACCAUGAAACCAAAAAAGAAAAAAACACACAAUUAAUAAAAAUAAAUAAUAAAAAAACCUCCUAGGACCGCCUAGCUCGCCUAGCGCCCAGCCCGCCCAGCUCGCCUAGGCGCCGCCUAGGCCCAACACGAUUUUUCCACCCGAUUUGCCCAAAAACGCCUCGGUUGCUAGGCCGCCUACCGCCUAGGGCGUUUUUUAGAACACUGUAUAAGCCUUUGUGUUAUGAAUAAAAUCAUUCAGAAUAUAUUUUCUUUAUUAGGGGUUAGACGAGUGUCAAUUGAAAAAUAAAUUCUAAGCUGAGUUUUUUUGUGAAGAAAUUCAAUGGAAGCUAACAAUGCAUUACAAGAUAGUUGUGGUGUCAUGCCUAAAGAUAUAUAAUUACGGGAUUAAGGGCUAAUCACAAUGAUUUUUUACAUGGGUACUAUACCAUGGUUGAUCUUCAUGACCUCGAACUUAUGGUGACCUCAGAUUUUUUUACAUAAGUACUAUACCAUGUUUUUUUUAUAUGGAACCUUAUCAGUAGCAAUUGGAACUUGUUUAUAUUGAUAAACUAUGAACAACAUUGAUAUAGUCUAUUAUGUAAAAGGGUUUUAAAUGUCGCCCCUCCUCCCCCCCCCCAAUAAUUCCUAGUUUCGUCACUGGUCACAAUUUCGAAAAGGAACACACAUAUCACUCAUUUAAUACACAAACACAUACAAUACAAACAAUCGAAAUUAAAUGAAAUUAUGGAUUAUAUUUGUCGGCGAUUAAGAGCUGACCUUCAAGAAGUCCUGCGAAGCGACGCCAAGGAGGUAGAAGGAGUGGGCGCCAUGGACGAGAAGUAAGAAGAUCGCAAAGAUUGCCAGGACUGCCGGGGAUUUACGAGAUGCCAUGGCCUCCGGCUGAGAGAGAGAAGAGGAGGCCUGUAUAGGUCUGGAAAGGAGGCGAAUGAGGAGGAGUUAGUUUAUUGGUUGGUGUUUAAUAGUUCGAUUCGUAUUUACUAUUGCGUAGAAAUAAAAUAAAAUUUAUAUAUACUAAAGCCGAAUGAAAACAACAAACAUGUAUAAAGUAUGUUAUGUUUACUUUUUGAUGGGGCUCAAAUCAAUAAAAAAUAAACAAAUUGCUUUCGAAGUAGUGAAAAAUAUUUAAAAAAUCAAAAUAAAGUAUUUGAGAGUGUUGAUGCCAAGAGCUUGAUGCCGAAUUUCGACUCAGCUUUAGCGUACCGGGUGGAGAAACUUAUGCUGUCAAAAACUAAUGUUGGAGUCUUCACCGUGGAAUUGAAGCCUUGGUUGGACAGUUGUGACAUCAAACAUCAAAUCUUUAAUUUUUUUUUAGUAUUGAUAAUAAACAUAUUACACUAAGAAUAAACGGUAAAGACAAACACAUUAAUGCACAAAGAAAUAAACCCUCUUCAGAUAAUUAUUAGCAACUGUUAUAUGUGUUAUAAUUUUUAUCCAAUUUAAUUUUUCGGAUGAGGACUUGGAGAAGCAGCCAUGGAACUACUCUCUCUCUUUUUAAAACUUCAUUGAUAAUUCAGCCAUUGUUAAUCAAAUUCAAAAACUGGUGAGGGUCCAAAUUUGUUGAAUAUAGGCUGUCAGUCUAAAGUUAUUAUAAUUUAGUUGCAAAUUGAAAUACUUAUAAAUCUGAACAAUUUUAGAGAUUGUACAUAGCUUGAAUUUGAAAAUUCGGAUGGACCCUCUUUCUUUUGUUGUAUUGCUAAUAGCCUGAAAACUGUCUCAAACCGAGGGUUAGGCCAAAAGGCUUGUGGGUCUCACUCGGCCAAAACCAGGCAAUCAGGCUAGUGGGCUAGCCAUCUCCAACCAGCCAGCCUGAUUUUUUUUGUUCUUUUCCAUUUGCCCAGCCCACUUUUUUUGGAUUUUUUUUUAAUUUCUAAUUUUUUCCCUCCACCAUUUCUCACAUAUUUUUCACUAUUUCAUACUAUCUUACCUCAUUUUAUUUCAAUUCUUCACAUUCCAUACUAUAACCCUUUGGCCCUUGAUUGGAGAUGGUUUUUUGUCACAGGGCUAUGUUUGGUCUAUGGACCUCUGGCCCCACGGUUGGAGAUGGUAAGAAAUAUGGCCAUGCACGGUUCAUUAAAAUAUUAAUUUUUUAGAGGGCCAGAUGGCUAAAACGAGCAUUCUGGCCCUCAUUCGGUUGGAGAUGGCCUAAGCUACUCGUUAUGAAGUGACCUUAAAUUAGUAGUGGACUAUAACUAAAAAAAACUCAAAACCCUAAUUUAGAAUAAUUAGGAUGUCCAUUCUUGAUAGGUAAACAUAAUAUCCACAUCUUUUGUUUUAGGUAUGUUUGCCCACAACGCAUAAUUAUAUGCUAAUUUUAAAAAAGACGCUAAAAAAUGUGUUAAUAGACAUACAGCAAGUGAGGCGGCUGUUUGGCGUUUUGCAAUGGGAAGGAGUGGAUUUUUAUCAGAAAUAGAAAAAGAAAAAAGCAAAAUGAAAAAAGAGUUUAUCUAUUUAUGGAAUUUAACCGCACAGAAGAAUACUUGAAAAGCUUUGGAAUAUUCCAAUAUUGGAACAUACACGUGUCAGGUUGUUGGAGCUGGACCAUCUGGUUUUUAUGAUUCUUAACAAACUAAAUUGCAAUAACUCUCAAUUUCCACAUUAUUUAUUGCCAUUGCCACCAUUGAGAUAUGCGGACUAUUUUGUAAAGAAAAUGUUCAUUUUUUUUCCAAUUUUACCCCUCACUUUUGAGACACAAUGUUGACAUGAGGAGGGCAAAAUAGUAAUUUUGUAUCAAAAUACAUAAGAUAAAAAUAUGCACUUAUUAAGAGAAAUUAUCACACCAUCAUUUUUUCAUACUGGUAACUGAAAAUCAUGAUGUUUUUUGGAUAGUUUGAAUGAACUUAAGCGGUUUCGCUUGAGGAGAACGUGGGAGGAGGUGGACGGUUGUUCACACACACAAAGUGUGUGCUCUAUGCUAGUCAUAAUUACGUAUGCAAUAGCCGAAUAUAAUUGGAGUGAAUGAUUGUCGUAGUAUUUACCUGACAAAAGCAAUCACGUAAUGCAAUAGAUAAACAUGGCUCAAAUUCAAGGAAGGGAAUGAUUGAAACCCAAAAUAAAAAGAAUUAUUAUUGACACUAAAAAAUUCUCAUUGUAUACUCCGUAAUUUCAAUAUUUAAAAUAAAAGUAUAGUUUUGAAAAGUACUAACGAAAUUUUUGAACUGUUAAUAACAGUUCUAAAAUAUAUUAUUAUUUAGAGAUUUGAUUAUUCAAAAAACAAAAAUCUUAAACUUUAAUUUACCUAUUUAGGGGUCAUAAGGUACAAUUUAAUCGCACGCGAAACACGUGAUUUGCUAAAAUACAAUUUCUUGGGACCCAUCCGCACGUAACCGGACCCCGCCUAGCAUAAAAAAUGGGCCCACAGACCAUGUCCAUGAUGACUCAACCUUCCACAAACGCGCACGCCCGAAAAAAUACCACGUGGUUACUUCCUUAAAUAUCACGUUUGGCUUGGAGGGAAAAUGAUCCCCAAUCCUCUUUGUGGUGAUUCAGGAUAAAAUAAUUAUGUUCGUUUAUCGCACAUUGUGCGAUAAAAAAUCAUUUAAAAUUUAAAAUUGAAUAUAAAUAGUGUCUAACAAAAAUUGAUCGCACGAUUUACGAUGAACAGACAUGAUUGCUUGAUCUUUAGGAUUCCCACAAAAAAGAUCCGGCCUGGAGAACUAAAAACACAUAUAUGCCUGUACAAAAUCCGACACUGCACCAAUAUAAGAAUCCUAGCCCCUACAUUCAUAGCUAGUUCCGACACUGCACCAAUAUAAGGCGAGAGUUUUCGGUGGAUUGAAGCACGUACAUAUAAUAUAUAUCAUACUUACAUAUGCAAUAGCUGAAUAUAAUUGGAGUGUACGAUUGUCGUAGAAUUUACCUGACAAAAAUAAUCACGUAACGAAAGAGAUAAACAUGGCUCAAAUAUGAUUGAAACCCAAUUGUUGAUACUAAAAAAUUCUCAUUGUAUACUCUGCAAUUUCAAUAUUUAAAAUAAAAGUAUAGUUGUGAAAAGUAUUAACGAAAAUUUUAAAAUGUCUAUAACAAUUUUAAAAUAUAUUAUUAUUUAGAGAUUUUAUUUUCUAGAAACAAAAAACUAAACUUUAAUUUACCCAGGGUCAUAAGGUACAACUUAAUCUCACACGAAACACGUGAUUUGCUAAAAUACAGUUUCUUGGGACCCAUCCGCAAGUAAUCGGACCCCACCUAGCAUAAAAAAUGGGAAAAUGAUCCUUGCAUGUCUCUUUUCCUAUGAAUUUUAGGGAUUCCGCAAUCAUAAUCAUUCAUCAUAUAUCGUGCGGUCAAUUUUCGUUAAGUACUAUUUAUAUUUAAUUUUUAAAUUAUUUCUGAUCACACUAUAUACGAUAAAUGAUCACGAUCAUGGGAUUCGUAACAUCUCUAAGAAAGGGAUCCUCGCAUCCUUUUCAUAAAAAAUGGGCCUACACGCCAUUUCCACGAUGACUCAACCUUGCACAGACGCGCACGCGCAAAGAAAUACCGCGUGGUUACUUCCUUGAAUAUCACGUUUGGCUUGGAGAACUCGAAACACAUAUAUGCUUGUACAGAAUCCGAAAGUUACGAUCCCCUACCCAGCAAGCCAAAGAAUGCAAUCCUCCCCCGAAUCACAACGCUCCGCGUGGCAAAAUCACAACGAAAUCGGGCAAUAAAAUUUAGAGAGCUUCGAUCGUACUCAGCGCAGCACAAAAGCAAUCGAUUCCCCCCAAUCGCAAGGACACACGUGGAAACAUCCAAAACAAAAUCUAAGUAGCAAAACUUCCCAGGUAUUUACUCCGAAACCCAAAGCAGUAACAAAUUGACGAAACAUACCGAAACUCACCCCGAAAUCCAAAUCCAGUAACAAAAUUACCGUGCCCCCAAAUGCGUAACUCCUUCGGGAAUUGGGAAUCCAAAUCCGAAUCCGAGAAGUGUUCUAUUUUGGCUCCGGAACAGUUCACUAUAAAUAAAACAGUAAUACAGAGCAAAUCAAGCCCCUCUGCAAAUUCACAGUGAAGAUUUUGAAGUCUCUGCCAUAAUCUCGCCGUAACGUAAAAAAUUGCGUCAGGGAUGCUUCAAAGUUUCGUUUUUCCUCGAGAGGUUUUGUUAUGGAGUCGGCGGAGGCGAAGAGGAUUUUGGAGCCGGAGGAGGAGGUGGUGAUGAAGUGCUACUGCUGCGGUUUGAAAGAGGAGUGCACACCGGUGUACGUAGCGACGGUGAAGGAGAGGCACCAGGGCCAGUGGAUUUGCGGACUCUGCACUGAGGUGAUCAAGGACCAGAACUCGAGGUCGUCGAGGAAGAUUAGCACGGAGGAGGCCCUGAAGCGGCACGUCCGCUUCUGCGAGGAGUUUCCGACGUCGAGUCCUCCCGCGAACCCGACGGAGGAUCUGACAUCGGCGAUGAAACAGCUGUUGUGGCGGACUCUGGACUCGCCGAGGAGGGAGAGGCUGGGCGACUGCAGGCCGACGAUGGUGAGGUCCAGGCCGGUCCUGAGAUUUUGGAGCUCCUUGCAUGGUCUAAACUUUUGGUUGCUAUAUUUUUUUUUAUAUUUUAUAUUUUUAUUGUGUGUAAAUUGAUAUAAUGCAAAAGAAAAUAAAUAAAUAAAUAAAGAAAAAUGAAGCAUAGUGUGGUGGUCAUGUACCUAUCUGUGUUCUCUAUGUUUUUUAUUAGAAUAUCCAUACUUUUUAAAUACAAAAAUCUUGGUGAUAUGACUGUGUACUUAUUAUAUCACCGUACAAAUACCAUAAUCAAAAUCAUUCAUGCUCUUCUUAUCAUCUAGAGUUCAUCUAAAAAAAAUUAUGUGUUAAACGAAUCACUAGUUAUGAUAUUAGUAGCAUCUUAUAAUGAACUUUUUUCAUUGCAUUUUUUGUCAUGCCCUAAAGUGAGGAUGAUUCUCACUCCCCCCCUCCCGUUGAUUGCCAUUAGAUUAGUUAAAAUUUUGAGAUUCAUGUCUUAAACAAUUAAACCAACUUAAUCUAACAAUAUAGGUGUAGUUGUACCAUAAUUUUCUUUUUGAUAUGGAUGACUCAAUAGUCUUCAAAUGGAAUGAAAAAUAGAUGACUUUUAAACGGUGACCAAAAGAAUAAAUGAUUCUAAUUAUGAAAUGUAUUCAAUUAAAUGAUAUCAUAUAAGGAAUGAAGGCUUUUAAAAAAUUAUAUCAAAUUUAAGAGUUUUAAUUUAUUAUGAUGUUCCUAACUACAAAUUUAUUAGCAAAAUUAUCUUAUAUAAUGAAAGAAAUUAAACUCCAAAUAUUUAAAAAUAGAAAAAAUAGUGUAGCUUAAAAAUCCCAAAAUAGUUAGCCCGCACAUGCACUAUAUGAAAGAAACAUGGCUGGAAGAAAAAAAAAAUCAAAAACAACAAAUAUGACAAACUAAGGUGUCGAACCCGUGCACUACCACAUGAAGGAACCAACGCUUCCCAGCUUUUUUAUAUAUAGAAUAUUAAGAAGGAUUUUAGAAAUUGGGGGCCCCAGAAAAUCGGGAGCCCUGUACGAUCGCACUCCUCGCAUCCCCUCAAGGCCGGCCCUGCUGCAGUCCCAAAUGCGAUUUUCAUCCAUUCUGUACCCUGAAACGUCUUGUACAAACGAACAGAGGUAUAACCGGCGAAAAGUCCCACGAAAACAAAAAGCAAGAGCAUUGUGGUCAUAAGACCGCCCCGGUUAGAUGGGGAGAGGAAGCCAAGGACAGCAAAUAUCAUUGUCACCGGUAUCAUUCCAAACAAUUGAACACCAGUUCCAACAUAUACAUAGAGCAAUUCAGAGUUAUUUGGAGGCCUGAAGACAUCCCCGUGGACAAGUUUCCAUCCUGUUUCUUCUUGCGCUUCUCCUGGGUCUUAAGUUCAUUAUACUUGGAGAUAUCACGGUAGAGUGUUCUUAGCAUAAUCAUCGCUACCAUACCCGAAAGGAAGAGGACAAUAAUCAAUGAGUUGACAAUUGAAAACCAAUGGAUUUGGUCGUCACUUAUCCAGAUAUAAGCAUCCCAUCUAGAAGCCCACUUCACAUCACUCUCCUAAACAGGUAGACAUGAAAAGAAGUAUCCUAUGAGAUGACUAGUUCCUCAUAUGUUCAGCACCAUUACAUCAGAAAUAUUAGGGCAAUAGACAUACGAUAGUAGUUCAUGACACAAAUAAAUGAUGCUGUAAUAAGUAAAGAGUAGACAGUAAAUUACCGAACAACAACAACAACAACAACAAAGCCUUUUCCCACUAAGUGGGGUCGGCUAUAUGAAUCAUAGAACGCCAUUGCGCUCGGUUUUGUGUCAUGUCCUCCGUUAGAUCCAAGUAGUCAAGUCUUUUCUUAGGGUCUCUUCCAAAGUUUUCCUAGGUCUUUCUCUACCCCUUCGGCCCUGAACCUCUGUCCCGUAGUCACAUUUUCGAACCGGAGCGUCAGUAGGCAUUCUUUGCACAUGUCCAAACCACCGGAACCGAUUUUCUCUCAUAUUUCCUUCAAUUUUGGCUACUCCUACUUUACCUCGGAUAUCCUCAUUCCCAAUCUUAUCCUUUCUCGUGUGCCCAUACAUCCCAUGAAGCAUCCUCAUCUCCGCUACACCCAUUUUGUGUACGUGUUGAUGCUUCACCGCCCAACAUUCUGUGCCAUACAACAUCGCUGGCCUUAUUGUCGUCCUAUAAAAUUUUCCCUUGAGCUUCAGUGGCCUACGACUGUCACACAACACGUCGGAUGCACUCUUACACUUCACCAUCCAGCUUGUAUUCUAUGGUUGAGAUCUCCAUCUAAUUCUCCGUUCUCUUGUAAGAUAGAUCCUAGGUAGCGAAAACGGUCACUUUUUGUGAUCUUCGCUAGAUUGCUCCGGUCAUUAGUGUGGAUAAGUAUAUAAAUGGAUAGAGAUAGGAAAGCAAACACAAGAUGUACGUGGUUCACCCAGAUUGGCUACGUCCACGGAAUAGAGGAGUUCUCAUUAAUUGUGAAGGGUUUACACAAGUACAUAGGUUCAAGCUCUCCUUUAGUGAGUACAAGUGAAUGAUUUAGUACAAAUGACAUUAGGAAAUAUUGUGGGAGAAUGAUCUCGUAACCAUGAAACUUCUAAGUACCGGAGUGUGGUAUCGUCUUGACUUUCCUUAUCUGUCUCAUAGGUAGAUGUGGCAUCUUCUCUGGAAGUACUCUUCCUCCAUCCAGGGGUGGUAUCUGUAACUGGUGGAGAUGCACAAGGUAAUGUAUCAAUGUCACUUGAAGCUUACUUGUAGUUUCAGGCUUGGUCAAGCGCGAUACAAACCAUGUAGUAGGAGUCCCCCAAGUCGCCGAGCUAGGGGAUCUGCUGAAAGAGGUGACAGACAAGGUAAGUAAUCAGAGCUCCGGCUGAUUGUUCACAUUCUCCCUAUCUUGCAGGAAGCAUAAAGGAUAAAGAGAAGAAAAAUGAGAAGAGAUGAUAUGGGAUACUUUUGCUUUUGAAGAAGUAACUUUCCACAUGCUUAUUCUUGAACUGGGCUGGAGGGUUUUCUGGUUUCCUCCAGAGUAUAAGGCCGACUGAAGAAUUUAAGGGUCAAAACAAGUCCAUCAAAUCUAGAGUACGUUCGACCUUGCUGAUAUGGGAUACUUUUGCUUUUGACAGAGUAAUGGAUGUAUCGGCACGUGUGCUGUUACGCUUGUCUCCACAUGCUUCCUUGUAUCCUUCUCACUUGCCCUAUCUGUUCCUCAGGCAGAUGCGGUAUCUUCCCUGGAAGCAUAAGAUGUUGAAGAUGAGUACUCGAGAGCAAUGCCAGGUAAGUAAUCAGGUAAGGGGUUCCAGACAGUCAGUUUCUGGCUAGAAGCUUGAUUCCAAGUGCUGACUGAUUGCUCUCUUUCUCAUUGUCUUGCAGGUAAGAACAAGGCCAAAUGAAAAGACAGGGAAAAAGCAUGAUAUGGGAUACUCUUUCUUUUAACCCUGAUGAUAUGAGAUAUUCUUGCUCUAGUAUAGCUUGUUUACAGAGGUAUUAUCGGGGGGAAAGAAAGCUAAAUAUUUCGAAAGGCUUCGUUGGGAGUGCCCUCUCAGCUAAGAGGAAGGGUUGAGCAUUUUUGCAGGUCUGCGUGUCCGUUGGGGAUGAAGGUCGACAUAUAUAGGAGUCUCCCUAACAUCAAGUAGUAAUGCUAUUCCUUUACCCUGCUUGGUCAUAGCUCGGUAGUGGGAUCUGCCAGCUUCACAAGUUUUAACUCUGUCAGAGCACUUUGAAAAAGUUGUAUGUGGUAUCUGGAAAGCUGAUGUUGCGUGUGAAGAUUACAGACAAGCUUUAUCUAAGGAGAUCCAGCUCUUGAAGUUGGGAAAGUGGUGCAUCUUCGGUUUUCGAACAAGCAAUCCUGUCGGGGAUCUGGCUCUCGAGAUUCGGAGAACGAUGCCUCUUCGAUUUUUGAGAAAGCAAUCCUACUGGGGGUCUGGCUCUCGAGAUUCGGAGAGCGGUGUCUUCGAUUUUUGAGAAAGUAAUCAUGUUGGGAGUCUGGCUCUCGAGAUUUGGAGGGCGGUGCCUCUUCGAUUUUGGAGCAAGCAAUCUUGUUGGGAGUGUUUUCUCGAAUGUGAGUAAAGGUUGGGCAUGUUUGCUAGUCUACCUUGCCAUGAAGCACAGAGAUUGACACACAGGGACUUUCCAAUUAUCUAGCAGUGGUACUGUUCCUUUACCCUCUCUUCGAUUUUUGAGAAAGUAAUCAUGUUAGGAGUCUGGCUCUCGAGAUUCGGAGGGCGGUGCCUCUUCGAUUUUGGAGCAAGCAAUCUUGUUGGGAGUGUUUUCUCAAAUGUGAGUAAAGGUUGGGCAUGUUUGCUAGUCUACUACCUUGCCACGAAGCACAGAGGUUGACACACAGGGACUUUCCAAUUAUCCAGCCGUGGUACUGUUCCUUUACCCUCUCUUCGAUUUUUGAGAAAGUAAUCAUGUUGGGAGUCUGGCUCUCGAGAUUUGGAGGGCGGUGCCUCUUCGAUUUUGGAGCAAGCAAUCUUGUUGGGAGUGUUUUCUCGAAUGUGAGUAAAGGUUGGGCAUGUUUGCUAGUCUACCUUGCCACGAAGCACAGAGGUUGACACACACCGGGACUUUCCAAUUAUCCAGCAGUGGUACUGUUCCUUUACCCUUGUGGGUAAUAAUAUGGUAGCUAGACCUUCAAAAUUUAUGUGUCUAAACUUUGUUAAUGUUGUUUCUUUGCUAUUCUUUUACCCUUCUUGGUCAGAGCGAUGUAGUGGGAGCUACAAGCUUCACGUGUCUCAACUUUGUCAGAGAACUUUGGCAAAGUUAUAUGUGGUACCCAUGAGCUACUGUUGCGUGUGGGAAGUGGGUGAUUGAACAGUACGAUUCAUGUGCUUUCUACUUCGCCAGAAAUCUUCGACAGAAUGCCCAUAAUUUCCGCAAAGCUAAGUGUGCGUGUGACAGGUGCUGACAGGGCUGGAAAAGUAGAUGCCUCUUCGAUUUCUGAGAUCGGCCCUCGUGGUAUCUGAGCAGCCCAGCUUUUGAGAAAGCAAGCCUCUUCGAUUUCUGAGAUCGGCCUUCGUGGUCUUUGAGCAGCCCAGCUUUUGAGAAAGCAAACACCUAUUCGAUUUCUGAGAUCGACCCUCGUGGUCUCUAAGCAACCCAGCUUUUGAGAAAGCAAACGCCUCUUCGAUUUCUGAGCAGGCGCCUCUUCGAUUUCUGAAGCUUCGUCGAGUGCAGAUUUUUAUAGGGGCUGACAUUAAGUUCCAAAGCACACUUGAAUAUCCACCAGUAGAAGCUCCAUUCUUGCACUUCUAAGAUCUUGAUUUGUCCGACCUCUUCUCUCUUCAACACCUUUGAAAAUGUCUGGCCCCUCCGACCGUCGUUUUGACUUGAACCUUGUUGAAGAGGCAGCCCCGCCUUCUCCAGACAACAUAUGGCGCCCAUCCUUCGUCUCCCCUACUGGUCCUCUUACCGUUGGGGAUUCCGUGAUGAAGAAUGAUAUGACCGCUGCGGUAGUGGCCAGGAACCUUCUCACUCCCAAAGAUAACAGACUACUUUCCAAACGGUCUGAUGAGUUGGCUGUUAAGGAUUCUCUGGCUCUUAGUGUUCAGUGUGCAGGUUCUGUGUCUAAUAUGGCCCAACGCCUAUUUGCUCGAACCCGCCAAGUUGAAUCAUUGGCGGCUGAAGUGAUGAGUCUCAAACAGGAGAUUAGAGGGCUCAAGCAUGAGAAUAAACAGUUGCACCGGCUCGCACAUGACUAUGCUACAAACAUGAAGAGGAAGCUUGACCAAAUGAAGGAAUCUGAUGGUCAGGUUUUACUUGAUCAUCAGAGAUUUGUGGGUUUGUUCCAAAGGCAUUUAUUGCCUUCGUCUUCUGGGGCUGUAUCGCGUAAUGAAGCUCCAAAUGAUCAACCUCUGAUGCCUCCUCCUUCUAGGGUUCUGUCCAGUACUGAGGCUCUGAAUGAUCCCCCUCCGGUGCCUUCUCUUUCUGGGGCUCUACCGACUGCUGAGACUUCUCCUAAGCAACCUUUGUGAAGGCUCCCUCUUGUUUGUUUAUUUUGACUCAAGUAUAUGUACAUAUUUGUAACUUAUCGGGGAUAUCAAUAAAUAAGAUUUCCUUCAUUUCAACGUAUUGUGUUAAAUACACCAAAACCUUCUUCGCUAAGUUCUUUGAAUUUUCUUUUGUUGAAGCUUGUAUGUUGAAGCUUUGUGAGUGGAGCAUGUAGGUUUAGGUAGUGUUCCCUUAAUUUCUCGAGUGAGGAAAACUUCUCGGUUUGAGACUUGGAAAAUCCAAGUCACUGAGUAGGAUCGGCUAUAUGAAUCUUAGAACGCCAUUGUGUUCUGUCCUGUGUCAUGUCCUCCGUUAGAUCCAAGUACUCUAAGUCUUUUCUUAGGGUCUCUUCCAAAGUUUUCCUAGGUCUUCCUCUACCCCUUCGGCCCUGAACCUCUGUCCCAUAGUCGCAUCUUCUAAUCGGAGCGUCAGUAGGCCUUCUUUGCACAUGUCCAAACCACCGUAACCGAUUUUCUCUCAUCUUUCCUUCAAUUUUGGCUACUCCUACUUUACCCCGGAUAUCCUCAUUCCUAAUCUUAUCCUUUCUCGUGUGCCCACACAUCCAACGAAGCAUCCUCAUCUCCGCUACACCCAUUUUGUGUACGUGUUGAUGAUGCUUCACCGCCCAACAUUCUGUGCCAUACAGCAUCGCCGGCCUUAUUGCCGUCCUAUAAAAUUUUCCCUUGAGCUUCAGUGGCAUACGGAGGUCACACAACACGCCGGAUGCACUCUUCCACUUCAUCCAUCCAGCUUGUAUUCUAUGGUUGAGAUCUCCAUCUAAUUCUCCGUUCUUUUGCAAGAUAGAUCCUAGGUAACGAAAACGGUCGCUCUUUGGUAUUUCUUGAUCUCCGAUCCUCACCCCUAACUCGUCUUGGCCUCCAUUUGCACUGAACUUGCACUCCAUAUAUUCUGUCUUUGAUCGGCUUAGGCGAAGACCUUUAGAUUCCAACACUUCUCUCCAAAGGUUAAGCUUUGCAUUUACCCCUACCUGAGUUUCAUCUAUCAACACUAUAUCGUCUGCGAAAAGCAUACACCAAGGAAUAUCAUCUUGAAUAUGUCAUGUUAACUCAUCCAUUACCAACGCAAAAAGGUAAGGACUUAAGGAUGAGCCUUGAUGUAAUCCUACAGUUAUGGGGAAGCUUUCGGUUUGUCCUUCAUGAGUUCUUACGGCAGUCUUUGCUCCUUCAUACAUAUCCAGUAAAUUACCGAGUAAAGAAAAAAUAAGUAAAGAGUAGACAGUAAAUUAUGAGUUAUAAUUCUCCUACGAAAAAAUACCGAGUAAAAUUUUAAAUUACAGAGCUCACCUGGAAUUCAACAUCAUAGGUAAAUACGAUUUCUUGAUUCUCGGCAACUUCUUGAGGAGAGUUAGCAUUAACAACAGUGUGUUUCGAAUGGGGGUUACAGGUAGUUAAACGAGUCCAAUCAUUCCAUUUCCCUUCAUAUUCAUGUUUAACACUGUGGACAUUCAACAGUCAAACAAACCAUAUUACCAACUGAUAAUUUAGAAAGAAGAUUCACCAAAAAGGAAUCAUGCAGGAGAAAAGGAACGUCCUGAAAAAUACUGACCUGAAUGGUUUAACCUCAAAUCCCACAAUUCUUGCUGUUCCAGUUCUCGGAUCUUUAUGGUACUUCACAGUAAAUGACAGAUGGUUGUGGAUGAAGUAUUCCUCUUCUUUGGUCUGAGCACAAUAACAUAGUGUAAGAACGAGAAAAACAUAAUCAUCCCCGAAUAAGAAAGGUAUUUGGUGCCAACAAAUACUGGACAUACCCCAUCAUAAUCCCCUUUGAACCCAACAUGGAAUCCAAGCUGAUAAACAGUACGAUCUUUUUGAUAUAGCCUUUGAAUGGGAACGACUAGAGGUAGAUUAUCAAGUAUCCUGUCAUAGAAAAAAAAGUCUUAAUAAGAUAUGCGACUUCGUUUUGGCUCCUCAAAUAUACUAGGAUAAAUCAUUUAAAUUGUCAGAAAAAAUUAAAUACAUGUUCACUCGAUACUCGUCAUCUAUCUUCUCCUUAAACUCCUUUACAAUGUUGGCAUUAGGUGUUAUCCGGCAGACAAUGUUGCACAUCUGAGGCUCCUGCAUACGAUACUGCACAAGCCCGAUUGUAAGUUUAUGAACAUAGGAGAAACAAGUAGGCUUAGAGUUCUUAGAGUUGUACAAAUGCAGCAACACUAACCACAUAGGGGGAGCUCGCGAUCCCGUCACCACGGAGCACUUCCCCAAGAUUCUCUAUAGUGUUGACGAUUCUCUCAGGUUGGCAGUAAGGGAGAGAGUAAUAUGAGUAAGGAAGCUGAGUCUUUGUAGAAGUCAGUGUGUUCACUUUAACCUUCAAACGAUCUCCCUGCAAUAAUUCAAAUUCCGCGAGGCAAAGCACUUUGCUUCUCAGUCAAGUGAAGUAAAACGACGGAAUUUCAAAUCUAAUUUACGAGAAGUAAUUCAAAUUCCACAGACAGCAUUUGUAAUGCAGUGAAACUAAAUGACGAUCUUCUUAGGGUACUUGCUUAGGAGUUAGGGCAUAUACAGAUCGAUGUCGGACCAACCAAGAAUUGAUGCGCCGCGAAUUACUCUCACUAUAUUUGAACUAAUAAGGUCAACUAACCCUAAUUCGACGAUCAUUUCAAUAGCAAAGUAGCAACCAAUCGAAUUCACGAUAACCUAAUCCUUCUAUUUUCCUCCAUUUUCUCGGCAACCAAACAGACGAAACCCAACACUAGGUCACAAACAGUGGAGAAGCUACACAAGACCUCUCGCCGGAAAUCGUCGGUUCUAGUUGUGCGGCACGGCGCUGCGCUGCUGGUGCUGCUGCACGUUAUAAUUUUUUUAAGAAGAUACCCAGGCCAAACGACGUGGUUUGGGCUUGGGAUUUUAAAAAAGUACUAAACAAAACGGCGCGGUUUGUGGGAGGGUGCAAUCCCAAUGAGAGAUUCAUAUGUGGGAUUGGACGGAUUAGUAUUCUAGUCGGAUUCUUUAUGUGGGUCUUUAGAAUCAAUCAAUUAUAUCCGUUCAUCUAAAUUAUACGAUUAUGAAUUAUUUUAAAUUUUUUAUUUAAAAUUAAAUAUAAAUAUUAACUAACGAAAACUGAUCGCACGAUAUACGAUGAGCGGACACAAUUGAUUGAUUCUCCAGAUCCCCACAAAGAUGAUCCGGAGAGGAUCCUCAUCCGGAUUGGACGGACGGCCCGAUGAAAAUUUUAACGCGGAAAGAAUUUCAUAUUGUUUUUUGCAUAAACGACUUGUAUUAUGGAUGAACGUAGUCAAUUUCUUCUUCUAGUCUCAUCUAAAAAGAAAACUAUAAAAAAAUAGAAAAAAAUUAACGUAAAAUGCUGUACAAUAUAUCAUUUUUAUUUAAACCAGGAGAAAAUAUGAAAUUUUAUAUUUCAAUUUUAUUCAAUAUUAAUUUCCUGUGCUAAGUGGCAAAGGUUUUCGAUGAAAAUUGAUUGUCCUAUUUAUAAAAUGUGGGAGGAAGACUUAGGUGUUAGAGAAGGAAUCUUGCCAAAGUCAACUGUAACUCUUAAGAAUAGGAAUUAAUAUUGUAAUUUGAUUCUGAUUGUACCAGUAUAGGAUGUGAUUCUUACUUGUACAUCAAGCAUAUACGUUGUAUAAAUAUAAGCCUUUGUGUUAUGAAUAAAAUCAUUCAGAAUAUAUUUUCUUUAUUAGGGGUAUUGAAAUUGAUGGGUUAGGAGCAUGGGUUGAUGUCUGUCCGUGGCACAUCAAGGUCAAGUUGUGACUGCAACUCUUUCCUUAUUUUCAGGUAGAGUUGCAGCUGCCACUAAACCAUCACUUUGUGUUCUUCCUUAAUUCUAGGGUUAUGUCUUCUAGUAGAUUUCUUGUAAGUUGUAUCUAUGGCUAGCCUUUUUCUCUCUAGUUACUUCUUUGUAGCUGUUAGCAUUUGUUUAUUGGGUAGGUUUUCCCUUCCUUGCUCGGUCUCCAUAUAUGAGACCUCUCUCUUGUAUUUCUCUCUUAUGAAAAAUAUACACACUUUGUUGAACUCAAAAAUCAACAUGGUAUCAGAGUUGGAACCAUAGGGUCCUGUUUCUGUUGUUCAAUCCAUUCCAUUCUAAUUUUUUUUUUCUUCUUUCUUGGUGUCUUCUACUCUUCGUUCACUGUCAUGGCAGAAAAUCAGACUUUAAGCCGAGAGGCAGCAAGCUUGUCAAACACUUCACCUUCCAGUGUGAUUCAUGGUGAGAUCAAUCCAAAUCUGCGCCUGUGCUCAGUGUUAUUAAACGAGUUUAAUUACCUACCGUGGUUUCAUGCCAUCUCUCUUGCCCUAGGUGGAAGAUCGAAGCUAGGGUAUGUCAAUGGAAUCACUAAAGCACCUGAACCAUCCUCUACAUCGUAUGGUGCAUGGCAUGCAAACGAUCAGGUUGUUAUGUCCUGGCUACUUAACUCUAUGGAACCUAAGCUGUCUGAACUCUUCAGUUACUCAGAAUCUUCUCAUGUUUUGUGGGAAUCUAUCAAAGAGAUGUAUGGCAGCCAGAACAAUGCUGCUCGUAUAUUUCAACUCAAGAAGAAUCUCACUGGGCUAAGACAAAGUGAUCAAUCCUUCGUGCAACAUCUUGGGAGCAUGAAGUUCAUAUGGAACAAACUUGACAUGUAUCGUCCACAUAUAACUGAUUCUGCUGCACUCCUCAAAAGAGCCGAUGAAGACAAAGUGUUUCAACUUCUGGCAAGUCUUGGAGCAGAAUAUGAAGAUCUUCGAAGUCACUUGCUGAUGACUGCAGAUAUGCCUUCAUUUAAUAGUGUUUGUCAAGCUGUCCAACGGGAGGAAACUCGAAGAAAAGUCAUGCACAUUGAACCCAAGUCCAACUCUGAGGCAAGGGUUUUCACCAGUAAUCAUAAACACACUGGUGAAAAAAAAAUUACUGGAAAGAAGGCAGAUUGGAAAUGUACCUAUUGCAACAUGAAGGGGCACAUAAAGGAAAACUGCUGGAUCUUACAUCCGGAGUUAAAGCCAAAGUUUGAUAAGGAAGGAAGAAUGAUCAAAGAAGGCAAGGAAAUUUUUCCAAAGGCUUUCCAUUCAACUAGCUCUUUGACUGGUGGUUUUCCAAACUUCACUGCAAAUCUCAUAGAUUUGAUAAAUGAAUUUGCAAGAUUUCUUCAAAGGAGAUGAGGCAUCACUGCAAAAGAGGAAGUGAUAUCUAAGAAUCCUACUGCCAUGCUUGGAAAAUUUGCAGGCUUCUUGAAUGAGACCACAACUCAAGACAAUGUUUCAGGUAUUAUCUCUGCCCUCUCCACUGCUCUCAAUGAAAUUACGCAUGAUUGUUGGAUCAUAGACUCAGGUGCCACAGAUCAUAUAACAAAUAAGUCAUAUUGCUUAGAUAAGUUUCAAAAUAUGCCUGAGUUUUCACUUGUGUCUGUAGCAAAUGGGAAAGGAUAACCUAUUAUGGGAAAAGGUAAACUUAAACUGUUAAGUGAAGAGAUUGAAUCAACAGCUUUGUAUAUGCCUACUUUUCCCUUCCAGCUUUUUGUCCAUAGGAAAACUCACAACCACUCUAAAUUGCCUUGUCAUAUUCUCUCAUCACAAUGUUAUAUUUCAGGAUCGAGUCACCCAGAAGAAGAUUGGUGAAAGGUUUCUAUUGAAUAGACUCUACUAUCUUUAAAGAAGCUCAAGCCUGUUAAGCAUCCUUUUGCCAACCUAAGUGUUCCUCAAGAGUACCAACUUUGGCAUCUUCGAUUGGCCCAUCCCUCAGAACCUGUGAUGAACAAACUAUUUCCAAAUUUUUGUAAAACCACACAUGAAUGUGAAGUUUGUCAAAUGUCAAAAGCAAAUAGGCUUCCUUUUGUUUCUUCCAAGUCUAGAACCAGUAAACUGUUUGAGGUUGUUCAUUCAGAUAUUUGGGGUCCUUCCCGUGUAGAAUCAUUUAAUGGAUAUAAAUAUUAUGCCACUUUUAUUGAUGACUAUUCUCAUUGCACCUGGAUUUAUCUCUUGAAAUUCAAAAGUGAAUUCUUUGAUGCUUUCAAAAACUUUCAUCAAUUAAUCUUAAACCAAUUCUCCUCUAAGUUAAACAGUUUACAAUCGGAUAAUGGCACUAAGUAUACAUCCAACAAUAUGUCUAAUUAUUUGAGCAAUCAUGGGAUUUUACAUCAAACCAGCUGUGUUGGUACACCACAACAGAAUAGUGUAGCCGAGAUAAAAAAAACUGUGACUUAUUAGAGAAAACAAGGUCUCUUAUGCUUCAAAUGCAUGUUCCUAGAAGGUUUUGGUCUCAGGCUCUCCUCACUGCAGCUUACAUCAUCAACAGGUUACCUACCCGUGUAUUUAAUUCAAAAUCACAUGUUGAAGUAAUGAAGGGAAGAACUAUUGACAUCUCACACCUGAGAACUUUUGGAUGCGCAUGUUAUUUCCAUAUUCAAGCCACACAUCGAGACAAGCUCGAUCCCAGAGCUGUCAAGAGUGCCUUCAUAGGAUACUCGAGCACUCAAAAAUGAUACAAAUAUUACAAUCCUCUUAAUGGAAAGAUUGGUGUCUCAAGGGAUGUUCGAUUUGAUGAGAAUGUUCCAUUCUUUCAUAAAAAUAGCAGUGAAGAAUCUCAGGGGGAGAACCUACUGGACAUUUUUCCUUUGCCCACUCCAGCACAUAUACAUGAAUUCAAUGUUCAUCUUGACCACCGGUCAAAACAACAUGAUGGUGAGGAAGCAUAUCCUGAUCAAGGAAGCCCAGGCACUACUCCUCAACCUGUCUUGGCACCACGAAGAAACCCUACUCAUGACAGGCAUCCUCCUCUAAGGCUGCAAGAGUACGUUACGUACACUGCAAAACAUCCCAUCUCCAAAGCCUUAACCUAUCAAAAACUGUCACCAUCCCAUGCAUCGUUUCUACAUCAGUUGUCCACUAAUGAUGAACCAAGAAAUUUUAAUGAAGCUGCUCACAUUCCAGUAUGGCAGGAAGCUAUGAAAUAAGAGUUUCAAGCAUUGAACAACAACUAAACAUGGAGUGUGGUUGAUCUUCCAAAAGGAAAAAUGGCAGUAGGGAAUAGGUGGAUAUACAAGACCAAGUUUCAUUCAAAUGGCAACAUUGAAAGACAUAAGGCUCGUUUAGUAGCCCGUGGCUUUACUCAAACUUAUGGCAUCGACUACAAGGAGACAUUUGCUCACAUAGCCAAAAUGAGCAUUGUACGAGUGUUGUUAUCUGUGGCAGUCAAUCACGAUUGGUCCCUAUUUCAAAUGGAUGUGAAUAAUGCAUUUCUUCAUGGUGACCUCGAAGAUGAGGUGUACAUGAAGCUUCAUCCCAGACAUCCACAAGAGUGUGAAACUAACAAAGUUUGCAAGCUCCAUAAGGCCAUAUAUGGACUGAACCAAUCUCCCCGAGCCUGGUACUCGAAGUUGAGUUCAGUCUUUGAAGCUGCAGGGUUCACAAGGAGCAAUAUUGAUUCCUCGUUAUUUGUUGUCACUGGUAUAAGUGGCAAACUACUUGUUCUUAUAUAUGUUGAUGACCUUAUUAUAACAGGUGAUAACAUAGAAGAAAUCAAUGCCCUCAAAUCCUCUCUUCAUCAACAAUUUGCCAUUAAGGAUUUGGGAAUCUUAAAGUACUUUCUUGGCAUUGAAAUGGCUACAUCCUUCAAGGGUUUGUUCUUAAAUCAAAUGAGCUAUGUUCUUGAUCUGUUGGAUGAAGCUGACAUGUUGAAUUGCAAGCCCGCUUCUACUUCUCUGGUGAGUAGACUUCAAGUAGAUACACACAGUGAACCACUACCAAAUCCCAGUGUUUAUCAACAUGUGGUAGGAAAACUAAUCUAUCUCACAAUCACUAGACCUGAUAUUGCUUAUUCUGUAAGUUUUAUCAGUCAAUUUAUGCACUCUCCCUCUAUGAUUCACUGGGAGAGUGUCAAAAGGAUACUCAGAUACUUAAAGAGAUCCAUUGGCAGAGGCUUGCUCAUGCAGAAACAUGGUUCAAAUCAUAUUAUGGCAUACACUGAUGCUGACUGGGCGAGUAAUGCUCUCGAUCGCAAGUCUACCACUGGUUUCUGUACUUUUGUUAGUGGCAAUCUUGUAACAUAGAAGAGUAAAAAAUAAACUGUGGUUGCACGAUCAAGUGCUGAGGCUGAGUAUAGAGCCAUGGCAGCCACAACUUGUGAAUUAAUUUGGUUAAAAAGUCUCCUAACGGAUCUUGGCUGCGUCAACAAGGAACUGAUGUCCUUGUUUUGUGACAACCAAGCUACCAUGGAUAUAGCUUCAAAUCUGGUCUUCCACGAAAGAACAAAGCACAUUGAAGUUGAUUGCCAUUACAUCCGUGCACAAGUCCAAUCCAAAAUCAUCAACACCGUGUAUACUCGAAGUUAUGAUCAACUUGCUAACUUGUUUACAAAAGCUCUCGAUUCUACUCAUUUCCAAAGAUUCCUGAGCAAGCUUGGAUCAAUCAACCCUCUUGAUCCAGCUUGAGGGGGAGUAUUGAAACUGAUGUGUUAGGAGCAUGGGUUGAUGUCUGUCCGUGGCACAUCAAGGUCAAGUUGUGACUGCAACUUUUUCCUUAUUUUUGGGUAGAGUUGCAGCUGCCACUAAACCGUCACUUUGUGUUCUUCCUUAAUUCUAGGGUUUAUGUCUUCUAAUAGAUUUCUUGUAAGUUGUAUCUAGGGCUAGCCUUUUUCUCUCUAGUUACUUCUUUGUAGCUGUUAGCAUUUGUUUAUUGGGUAGGUUUUCCCUUCCUUUCUCGGUCUCCAUAUAUGAGACCUCUCUCUUGUAAUUUGAUUCUGAUUGUACCAGUAUAGGAUGAGAUUCUUACUUGUACAUCAAGCAUAUAUGUUGUAUAAAUAUAAGCCUUUGUGUUAUGAAUAAAAUCAUUCAGAAUAUAUUUUCUUUAUUAGGGGUUAGACGAGUGUCAAUUGAAAGAUAAAUUCUAAGCCGAGUUUUUUGGUGAAGAAAUUCAGUGGAAGCUAACAAUGCAUUACAAGAUAGUUGUGGUGUCAUGCCUAAAGAUAUAUAAUUAAGGGAUUAAGGGCUAAUCACAAUGAUUUUUUACAUGGGUACUAUACCAUGGUUAAUCUUCAUGACCUCGAACUUGUGGUGACCUCAGAUUUUUUUACAUAAGUACUAUACCAUGUUUUUUUGAUAUGAAACCUCGUCGGUAGCAAUUGGAACUUGUUUGUAUUGAUAAACUAUGAACGACAUUAAUAUAGUCUAUUAUGUAAAAGGGUUUUAAAUUUCGCCUCUUCUCCCCCUAUUCCUGGCUUCGUCGCUGGUCACAGAUUUGAAAAGGAACACACAUAUCACUUAUUUAAUACACAAACACAUACAAUUUCUACAAACAAUCGAAAUUAAAUGAAAUUAUGGAUUAUAUUUGUCGGCGAUUAAGAGCUGACCUUCAAGAAGUCUUGCAGGGCGACGCCAGGGAGGUAGAAGGAAUGGGCGCCAUGGACGAGAAGUAAGAAGAUCGCAGAGAUCGCCAGGACUGCCGGGGAUUUAUGAGAUGCCAUGGCCUCCGACUGAGAGAGAGAAGAGGAGGCAUGUGUAGGUGUAGAGAGGAGGCAAAGGAGGAGGAGUUAGUUUAUUUGUUGGUGUUUAAUAGUUCGAUUCGUAUUUACUAUUGCGUAGAAAUAAAAUAAAAUAUAUAUUUACUAAAGCGCCAAAUGAAAAAAAAAAAAACAUGUAUAAAGUAUGUUAUGUUUACUUUUUGGUGCGGCUCAAAUCAAUAAAAAAUAGGAAACUUUAACGAAAAGCACCCGGUACUGUUCACUUUAACGAAAAACCACAUUUUUACACUAAAAAGUCAAUUCUUGUACUAUUCACUUUACCCUUUAUUUUGUCCUUAUCGUUAAAACUCAAAGUUUUCAAGACCUUUUCAUUAGUUUUCCUUAAAAAAUAAACAAACUGUUUUCAAAGUAGUGAAAAAUAUUUAAAAAAUUAAAAUAAAGUAUUUGAGAGUGUUGAUGCCAAGAGCUUGAUGCCAAAUUCCGACUCAACUUCAGCAUACCAGGUGGAGAAACUUAUUAUGUUGUCAAAAACUAACGUUGGAGCCUUCACCGUGGAAUUGAAGCCUCGGUUGGACAGUUGUGACAUCAAACAUCAAAUCUUUAAUUUUUAGAAAAAUUAAUGAAAAGUUCAAAAAAAAAAUUUAGUUCUAAUGAAAAAAGACAAAUAAAAGUGUAGUGAAUAGUACCAUGAAAAGGUAAAAUAUGAUUUUUCAUUAAAAAUAAACCAUACCAAAAGUAUUUCGUUAAAACUACCUUAAUUUUUUUCUAGUAUUGAUAAUAAACAUAUUACACUAAGAAUAAACGGUAAAGACAAACACAUUAAUGCACAGAGAAAUAAGCCCUCUUCAGAUAAUUAUUAGCAACUGUUAUAUGUGUCUUAUAAUUUUUAUCCAAUUUAAUUUUUCGGAGAAGGACUUGGAGAAGCAACCAUGGAACUACUCUCUCUCUUUUUAAAACUUCAUUGAUAAUUCAGCCAUUGUUAAUCAAAUUCAAAAACUGGUGAGGGUCCAAAUUUAUUGAACAUAGGCUGUCAGUCCAAAGUUAUUAUAAUUUAGUUGCAAAUUGAAAUACUAAUAAAUCUGAACAAUUUUAGAGAUUGUAUAUAGCUUGAAUUUAGAAAUUUAGACGGACCCUCCUUCUUUUGUUGUAUUGCUCUUAAUGUAAAUUCAAUCAGAUAUGAAUGCAAACUAAACUUAUUUUACUAUGCAGAUUAAGUUGCCUUGAUUGGUUACUAAAUUAUAUAGAAAUAGGUGUGAUAAAUUAAGGUAAUGUGGAGUGAACUUUGAGUUUCAUGGAGUGAAAUGAUGACUUUUGAGUUUCAGAGGGCAAAGUGGGAUCGAAAUCAAGUUUCCGAAGGCAAAGUGAAAUCAAAAUGGAGCGAAUUUGACAGAAGAAACGGAAACAUAGUAAAGUAGAGUGAAUUUUGAGUUUCAUUGAGUAAAGUGAUGACUUUUGAUUAACAGACGGUAAAAUGAGAUCAAAAUUGAGUUCUAAGGGGCAUAACGAAAAAUAAGCCUGUAUAAAAACCCAACCAAACUUAGACACCGCAUCAGUAAGUGGCGGACUAUGGGCAUCUCGUAGGGAUGACAAUGAGACGGAUUGGGUUCGGAUAUGCCAUCCUCAUAACUGAACCCGAUAAUUUUUUCCGAACUCGAAACCGUAGAAUCCCCGAAUGGAGAUUGCCCAUAACCGAACGUGGUAGGUAACGAAUUCCCCAUUAGGUAACAGUUUCCCCAUGGUUAGGGAUGGCAAAGGAGAAAGCAAGAGGCUGCUGGCCGUAUGACGCUGUCAUUUUUGUAUUUUGUAUGAGAAUAAAAAGAGGAAUUCAUAAUAACAGGGACAAAGUUUGCUGGAGACCUUUGGGUUUCAAUGAAAUAAGAGGAAUUCAUAAAAGAGGAACAAAGCACAACGUGAUUACAAACAGACAACAAAGCUAUGCAAAGAAAUGGAAUAAGAAAAAAUAGUUGGAAAGAGGAGCUUAAGUCCUGAUUCUCCUCCAUCCCAACUAAGCCAAAAAGCUGGAAAACAAUUCAAUUUUGGAAGGAAAUUUAUUCAGUUUCUCAUGCAAAUUGUCCUAGAUUCCAUCGUUUGAUUGAAAGCAUAGAAAUUUUUGGAAUAAUGUUGUUGGAGACCCUUGAAGUCUGCACGCUCAAGACCUUUAAAGUCUCAUAGAAUCCCUUAAUGGAUAAAGUUGCUAGAGAAAAUAAAUAAAAACAUAUAAUAAAUAUUUUUAUUUUUUACUAAAGAAUGAAAACGGGACGGUUUCGGGCACAGGUAUAGGGUAGAUACCCUAAUAAUCAAAAUCGAACCCAAAAUUGGAUAAUUUACCCGACGGUUACCUAUAACCACAAAAUACUUGAAAUUUGAUCCCCGAAAC
This 68185-nucleotide long non-coding RNA is filed under the name Malus domestica (apple). RNAcentral's name for it is "long non-coding RNA (MDOM_LNC007288)". Lineage: Eukaryota; Viridiplantae; Streptophyta; Magnoliopsida; Rosales; Rosaceae. The record is from RNAcentral.